RNAcentral lists this long non-coding RNA (61245 nucleotides) under Cucumis sativus (cucumber). RNAcentral describes it as "long non-coding RNA (CSAT_LNC000847)". The record is from RNAcentral. Lineage: Eukaryota; Viridiplantae; Streptophyta; Magnoliopsida; Cucurbitales; Cucurbitaceae.
UUCUUUUUUUUUGGUUGAGAGUGAAAUAAAAUUGAUACGAUGAUGACGUAAAAUGACAUAUAUACCUAUUCAACAAAGUUUAACAUAGCGUAUAUAAUACACUGUCCAAUCAUUUUUAACAUUCAAGAACAAUAAAUUUAAAUGUAAUUAUAAAAUUCAUACAAAUAUACGUAAUCUUACGUACAAAAUGAAUGAAAAAUAGUGGGUUUAGUGCAUUAACAUAAUGAAACCAUAAAAAAGUAUACCCUUAAUUCCCAAGAAAAUUUUCAAAGCAAAAUACUAAAUCUAAUGAAAAUUAUAUUUAUUUCUAACAAUUUUUAUCAUUAUUAUAUUGGUCUACUUUAUAAUAUGCUUGCAAUUUAAGUUUUGUUAUUCACAUGCAAAUUAAAACUUGCAAUAGUCUUGCAAAUUUUAAGGAUAUAAAUAAUUUCAAGAGAUCAAAUCUAUAUAGCUUGACUUUCAUGCUUACAAGUGGGGGAAAAAAGUUCAAAUUAAGAGUCAAAAAAAGAAGGAAAAAGAAAAAACCCAUUAAAUUAAUAGAUUGAAUACUAUUAAUUUCAAUUUUAUUAAUUUAGUGGAGUUUUGGCUUUUGGAUGUGUAACACAGCUCUUUCUCUGGGUGUCUAUCAAUUUGUUUUCUUAAAUAUAUAUAUAUACCAACUGUCAUCAAAGAUCAUCACUUUUUUAAAGGUGUUUUUAAGAUCAAUGAGUGUAUUUUGAGUAUUUCAUGUUAGAUUAAAAUAUAUAUGAAUAUCACAUUGUAUUAAUACUAAUAUGAAUGAUGAAUUAGGUAGUUACUAUUAACUAUUAUUGAGAAACACAACUUAGAUCAAUUGAUAUGUGUACGUGCUAAGAACCAUAAAAUUAAUUAGUGGUUUAAAAUCCCUUAUUCUCAACUUGCAUCUACUUGAAAAAUGAAAAAUAACCAACCACAACUAUUUUUAAUUAUAGUUUUUAUACUAAAUCUAUUAGGUACUAAACAAAUUUUGAACCAUUAUUUAAAUUUGAAUUCAAUAUUUUAGCUAGAAUAAUUUGUUUUCAAAAGCAUGUCUAAUUGCUUAACAAAUCUGCCAUGCCUUUUAGGCAAUUUAAUCUAUAGACAUACCUUGUAUAUCUCAAUGAAACUCUAUCCAAAAUGCACUCCAAAAUUUCUUUUCCUUACAAAGAUAGUACCAAUUUUAGGAUGAGAUUUACUGAGAAAAAAUAAAAUAUGAAUAUCUUUUAGCCUUGUUGAGAUCGAACUUAGUGUGCAUCCAGAUUCUAUGAAGAAUUUACAUUUCGUUAGAAAGUAUUGAGAUAUGAAUAACCAGAAUAGAGGGAGAGAGAUCUCUUCAUCGAUAAAUGAUAUUUUAAUUGAUCUAACCAAGAAAAUUAAAAUUUUGUUCUAAUUUAAUUGUUGUUGGACUCUAUACAAGUCAAAGACGAUAGUCAAAAGAUGGAGUGGGCCAACCUUUGAAGUAAUGACACAAAUAUUUCAAUUCGUUGUUCUCAGUAAAGACCUCUGUGGAUAAAAGUACAACUAAAUUAAUACAUUUCAAAACAUAUAAAGGACUAAACCGAGGAACAAAAGUGACAUAUAUUAUUCAACCAUAUUUUUUUCUCCUCUAAUUCACGAAGCAUUAGAGAAAACUAAAGGUGGAAGAUUAUUCAUGUAAAUGAAAAAAAGAGGUCCCAACCCAUGUGAUGAUGAAAAAAUAUACAACAUCAAAGUAUUGAAGUAUGAAAUUUUAUAUCAUUUGGUAAAGUAUAGCAUUAAAUUAUAUAUACAAUAUUGGUGUCUUUGCCUUUCCCAAGUAUACAAUAUGACAAGAAACAGAUAUAUAUCAAAGUAAUGACAUGCCUUCUGAUUGAGGCAUCUCUAGCUCUCAAUUCACUAGACCUUCCCCACCUUUCCCCUAUUUUCAUUUUCAAAUUUAUCACAUUUAUCAAAUUUCAUAUAUAUAAUAAUAAUUAAUAUAUCCUUAAUACAGAAAUCUUAUCUUACAAAAUUAAAUGUUGAGCUUCUUUCAUUUGCUAAAAUCAUUUUAUAAAUAAUUUGGACAACCUCCCUCCAACCUAAAGUUUUCACUCCUGCAUUUCCAAAUUCUAGUCGAAGUAAUAGCUUUGUUAUUGAGUGAUUACUUGAAAAGUUCUCGGACUCGUGUUCUAUCAUUUUAUAAAUAAUAUGAUAUAUACCAAAAGUUUAAACUUUAACAAAAUAAAAAUGAUAAUAUUUUUUGGAUGGUUUAAAAUAUAGCAAAACGAACCAAAAUAUCUAUAAAUACAACAAAAUAUCGUUAUGUGUCCUACAUAUUUUGUUAUAUUUAUAAAUAAUUUUAACUUUUUUUCAUUUAAAAUAAAUAUUUGUAUUUUGGAUUAAGUGAAGUGUCAUGCAUGAUGAUAUUUCUUUUUUUUUUCUUCCAUCAAAUUUCAUUUAUAUAUAUGUACAUUUCCUUUAUUAUCUCAACCAUACUUCAUCUGUCAUCGUUUAUACAAAAUAUUGCAUGAUAGGUUUGAUUUCAUGACCAGUGGCUUGUUAAUAUUUCUAUUUCUUUUAUAAUAUUCCCUUGUUAUUAAUUAGUCUGAUAACAUAUAUUGUUUCGCAAAUUUUACUAAAGAAUGGUUUCUAAAUCUGUGUAUAUAUGCAUUUUUUUUAACUUAUCAAAUACAUAAGAGAGAAAAAAAUGAAAAGCAUUAUGAAUAUUUAUGGUUUGGAAAUUAAAGUUUUGCCACCAUGAUUUUGAAGGCUUUAAUUUCAUAUAAUUUUCAUUUCAUCUCAAAAUUAAUAAUUAAAUCUUCCAAAUUUUUAUUACUCUAUUAUUUUAAAGUAUAAUAAUGUUACUUGUAAAAGAACUCUCAAUACCAUUAAUGUUAGUGCGAUAAUAUUGAAUAAUGAAAAUUAAUUGCUUCCAUUACGAGAUGGUUUCAUUGUUAAUACUUUGAAAAUAGGUUAAAUUAUUAUAUAUAUUUUGAAAGGGUUAUUGAUUAGAGGUAUGAAUCUCUGAUUCCAGACAACGUUGAAAAAAUUAUUGAAUGUGAUAGGUGUAUCUUUCAUUCUUUUGCAAUUUGACAUUAGAAAAAGCUAUCAAAUUUCAUAUGGGAAAUUUCAUACUUCUUCUUUUUAAAUGAAAAUUUUCACAAGCUUUUGGUAGCUCUUGAAUUGUCAUUUCAUUUUUCAAUGCAAAGACAAAAUAAUUCAAAACCCAUCUCUCUCAACUCUAAGCUCUUCAAGGUUUAUGAAGUAAAUGAAAAAGUUGGGUGUUUCAUAUCCAUCCAUUUUAUAAAGAAACUUUUGUGAGGUCAAUGACUAUAUUUUUUUAUAAAAAUAUUUUAUAAUUUUUAAAAAAACUAUUGUGUUUUAUAUUUAAUUUUAAAACCAUAAUUAAAAAAAAAAAAAAACUAUUGUGUUUCAUAUAUAUAUUUAUUUAUAUUAACUUUUCUUUAAAUUUGAUAAUUUGUGUCGAUUAUUAUGUUUGAUAAAACAUAAAAUGUGAAAAUAAUUGGAAAACAUGUAUUGUAAAGAUUUUACUUUUAGUUUCUUCCUUGUGAAAUUUAUUUUAAAACUAAUUUCCAAUAAAAAAAAGUGAUAAUAAUAAAAUAUAUGAUUUUAGUUCCUAUACUAUUUUCUUAAGAAAGAAAAUUCAUUAAUGAGGAAAUUGAGUAACCAAAGAACAAAGAUCAUGUUUGAACUAAAAAUAAAACCCAAGAGGAGAAAAGCCAUAUCCAUCCACAAAUGGGAGCUUUUGAACAAAAGCAUUAAAAGCUAAAGAAUGUGCUAAUUUAUUACAAAUUUUUUUAGUGCAACUCCACAAAAGAAAAAAUUGUUAAAAUAGCUAUUGUGUUGAAUCGUCCUGAAUUUAUUUGUAAUAUGGUAUUCAAAUCAUCCAACAUUGGUAUCUUGUCUUAGACAUGUAAUAGUUUACAUGUAAUAAUCUACCACUUUGAAACUUAAGUUAUUUUCGUGUUUACAAUUUUAAUCCUCUAUUUAGAGGUUGAGUGGUUUAUACAUAAACAUUUUAAAUGUAGAGGCACCUUACAUACUAUGAAAUUCAAUAUUUCUCUCUAAUAAUAAAACUAUUCACUCUUGAUGUAUUACCUUUGUGCUUAAUGAUAUUUUUUGUGGAAAAAUGAUAAGAGUGCGAAAAAGGUGUUUCGACCUAAUGAGUAUGUUCAGGUGCACCCCUAAUCCCCUAAUCCAACAUAUCCUUUACAAAAAAAAAAUGUUCACUCUUUGCUUGUAAAUAAUCUUUGUGUUGACUCCCUCUAUAGUUUAUGUCUUUUAAUAUAUUUUUUUUAUAUGACCAAUUUUCUAACCUAUACAUCUACAAUAUAUAUAACUUUAAAGUUUGAAUGAAUGAUAACUACUAAAAAUUUUGUAUUUUAUUUUUCUAGGUUGUAAGGUUGUAACUAAAUCCUUAAAAAAGUAUGUUCAAACUAAACAUAACUCAACUAACAUAAAACUUACACUACAAAACAUUUGGUUAUCAAUUAUCCUUAAAAAAAAAAAUUAAACUCAAUUUGCAUAUCAAGAAAUUAGGAAGUAUGAACGGAUUUAAAUAAAUAUUCUUUUUGAGAGAGACAAAUUAAUGGGAAAAUUGACAACCAAUAGAUUAGGAAAAUGCCAAAAAAGAAAAUGAAAAAUGAAAAAAGUCUCAUAUCUUCAUGAUCUUGUGCUACGAUAUUGAGUUGCCGAGUCUUGUCUUUCUCCUAAUCCAAUGUGAUCCCUCUCAAGUUUACUCCUUCACCAUAAAAUCCCAAUUGAAAAAAUCUCAAACUCCUUCUAUAAAAGCCCUAAAUUCUCUCAUUAUUAUUCACCCAUUGGUAGCCAUUACAAACCAUAAAAAAACUCCCUUCAAUAUCAUUAUUCCUCUCCAAAUGGCUUCCAAAAUUUCAUCAACCACUUCCCUUCUCCUUCUUCUCAACCUCCUCUUCUUCACUAUGGUCACCUCCACCUACGUCCCUUGCCCGCCGCCGCCACAGAAGCACCCCAAGGGCGUUCCCUCGAAGCAGCCAACACCACAGCCAAAGUGCCCAAAGGACACUCUCAAGCUCGGCGUUUGCGCUGACUUGCUCGAUGGUCUAGUGCACGUCGUGAUCGGCGCACCACCGAAAACCCCAUGUUGCACACUAAUCCAGGACUUAGUUGAUCUUGAAGCUGCUCUUUGUCUUUGUACCGCGGUUAAAGCAAAGGCCUUAGGGCUCAAAAUUGACCUCUCAGUUUCCCUCAGCUUGCUCUUGAACUAUUGUGGAAAGAAGGUUCCAAAUGGCUUCAAAUGCCCUGCUUAAGAUGUCACUCUCUUGCCACAACAAUCUUACUUAACUAUCCUUUUCAUAAUUUUCACCUAUGUUUUGUUCUUGAUAUUUUCCAAUUUGGGUUAUGUUAUAUUGUGUGUUUGAAGGCUAUGUUUGGUCACUAUGAAAUGUCGUUUCUGUUGUACUGAUGGGUUUGGAAAUCUUCUAAGAAUUAUCCCACCAUCAUCUUCUAUAGGCUUUUCACUAUAGAAAUGUUAUUGUGUUUGUGUAAUAUAAAAAUAUAUAGAUACACGUAGUUUUUUGGAAUAAAAACAAAAAAAAUUGUCUUAUCCUUUUUUUUUUUUGUUUCCUCUUUUCUUUUGAUUUAAUUAAAGGUUUGAUGAUUCAGCAAAUGUUUGAAAUGACAUCAAUUCUUUUCAGACAUAUGGUAGUUUAGAUUUAGUGUUGAGCAAAAUAAUUAAAACAUUACCUUUGGUAUCAAUUUCAAAGUUUCAAUUCUAUGGGAUAACGAUAGAUAUUUAAUAAAUCGAAUAAUAAAAUCAUUUAAAUUAGUAAUUAUGUUCUUUCCUAAAAAUAUAUAUAUAACUUGUCAGGAACACCAGCAUAAGUUAGAAAAUAUGACAAUUUUGCAAGAAAAAAUAACAAACAAAGUUAACAUAAGAAUAGUGCAACCAUACUUGCUCUUUUACUACUCAAGUGCAAGGUUUAGUUUUUCACAAUCAUGACUACAUUUAUUAUAUGAACAAAGAAUAAUAAUAAAUAUAUAGUAAAUAAAAGCAAGAUUAGGCUUCUAAUGCAAUACUCAAUUUUUAUUUUUUAAAUUUUAACAAAAUGGACAAGGCAGAAGUAUCAACAAGUGCACAUAAAUAUGUGUCCACACAUCGUUAAUGCCCUCAUUAUCAACUUGGACACUUACACUAAAUAAAACACGGAUGUGAAAAAUUAAUAUAUAUUUACACUAAUGUUCUAAAAUAUUGAUGUAUUAAUAAACCAACAUAUCUUUACUAUACUUAUUUGUAUAUCAAUGAACGAAGAGGGUGUUAAGGAUGCUCAACUUAAUUAAGGUGCAUUUAUUGACCUACACUUUGUAAUUUGUUAAAAGAGAACACAAGUACAUAAUGUAUUUUACUAAUUUUGAACUAGACAUCUAUCCUAUUAAGAAUGUUUUUAUUUAAAUUAUAUUUAAAUGAUUGAUAAUUUACGUAUCAUGUCGGUAUCCAACAUUUGAACGUACCAAAAUGUCAAAAGUUAUAAGUAUAACUAUAGUCUAUUUUUUCUUUUCUUUUAACAAUAGAAAAUAUAGAAUUAUUAGUGAACCUAAUUCAAACGACUGCAUGGGAACAAAAUGGUCAAUUUCCCAAAUUUAUUGCAAAUAUGCUCAUUUGUCUUUGUCAGCUAAUUAAUUACACUUUCGGGCAACAAACAAUAUUGAUAAACUACAAUGAAGAUUUUACUCAAAAUAAUAAAUAAAUAAAAGACAUAAAAAUGAAAAUAUAUUGUGAAGAAAUUUUUCUUGGUGCCUAUUAAAUGUCAACCGAUUCAUUUUAGCUUCUAAAAUCAUAUCUAUACAUAAUUAUCGUAAAGAAAAUUAUAUCCAGAUAUAAAAUUAACCUAGUUUAGAUUUAAAAUGUUGAUGUUCACAAAAAUUUGAGAAACAAUAGGAGAAUCAUCAUAAUAUAAUAUUAAUAUUCACUACUAAAGCACAACAAAAUUUAAAUGCUUUCAGAUUAAAAUGUUCAAACUUUAGAAGUUACGAAGGAUCAUAAUAACGAAUUUAGCAAAAGUCAAGUUAAUUAUGUAACUUAGCUUUCAAUAUCACUUCUAGAUUUUUUUUUUUGUUUGGAAACGAGAUAUGGUUCCUAUUUUGCAAGCAAUACGCGUGGGUCAAUUUCUCAAUAUAAUCCUUGAUAUUUACUCUCCAUGCAAUUAAUGACAACAUCUCCUCCAUGCCUAAUAGUUUUUCUCAAACUAUUAAGACUUAAAUUAGCCCACACUUAAUUACCUUUGAAUUUCACUUAUUCUAGAGGGGCAAAAUGUAACCUUUUGAAAGCUAAUUACAUUUGCUUUAAGUAAAAUGAGUACUUUAAAAUUGGUAUUUUAAUUAUAAAAAUUUGCCACAAGAAGAGUAGAAAAAGGCAUACUUAGAAUUGUUUUUUUAAAAAAUAAAUAUAUUAAGCACGAAAAAUAAACAUACUUAGCAUUGCACAAAAAGAAAACUCUUUGACCAACUAAUCUCCACAAAAAAAGACCAAAAAAUCUAAAUGUCCUUCGAUAUUAGGGCCAUGUGUGCACGACCAAAAAAUCUAAAUGUCCUUCAAUAUUAGGGCAUGUGUGCACGACUCUAUUGUAGGUCAUACAACAAAAGGAUAAUCUCAAAACAAUCACCAAAUAGGUGAGGAGAAAAAUUGUCUUUAGUAACAAUAGUCGAUUCAAAUAAAUGGCUAAAGUUAUGAACGAACUUAAAAGAAUUCAGUAUAUUCAAUCACUAAAGAGGAAGGUCUACGGGUGAUCCAUCUCGUUUUUUUCUUUCAAAAAAAAGAGGAAGGUCAACACUAAACCUACCUUUGAUGCACCUCAAACCUUUAACCUCGCAUAUCCUUGAAAGAGCAAUAUUAUUGGUAAUAAAACUCGAUAAUUAUAUAUAGUCAAGGAAAUUGGAUUAAAGAAGAGAAUGUUAUCUUAUAUCUAUCUAUAGGAAAAGACCAAUUUAAUGCAUUUAGGUAAGUGUACUUACACAUGAUUGUGUGGGGGACAAGAAGUUUCUUUCAAAUUUAUUGCAAAUGUUCAUCAGUCUAUGUCGUAAGCUGGCAAAACACAAAGUAAUACAACACCAAAGCAUUCAAAAUAAAUUAAAAAUAUAAAUUAAAAAUAUCUACGAGGUGAAAAAUCUUAUGAGAAAUUAUUUUAUUUUCAAAGAGAAAAAUAUCCUUCAAUUUGUUUAGAUUGUGAGUAUUGUUUUUUAUAUGGCUUAUUAAGUUUCAUAAAUAUUAUUUUUAUCUUUAGGGUUUCAAGUUAUUUUUUCUGUUUAGUUUGCACCUACGACUCUAGAUAAAUUUCUAACUACAUAUUACAUUUAAGUAGUUUUUUUAAUAACAAAAACAAACUAUAUUUACACUUUGUGGCAAAAUAUCAUUGAAUUUUUUUACAUAAGGUGAACGUCUUUGAGAAUACGAAAGUUAUUUUAAAGAUUACAGUAAGAAUGAGUCAUUAUGUAAGCCCACUAUAUUACUACUUUGAUAUACUCCAUCAAAAGCUUGCUUAUUUAUGAUGAUAUGAGUGCCUCUAUCUCCACAAAUCAUCGUUUAUUCAAGAAUCUUUGAAAAUUUGGUAUCCCAAAAAAUGUAAGUUUUUCAUUUGGUCGCUUAUACAUGAAUGUAUUAACACAGCUGAUAAGUCCAAAAAAAAGGCUACCAUGCUGGAAUUUGAACCUAUCUUGGUGUUCUUUGCAAAAGUCACACUGAAGAUCUGAAUCAUCUUUCCAUUACCUAUCCCACAUCAUAAGACAUAUGGAGAAGGAUCAUCAACAUAAUAAAAUGCAAUAUUGCCUACCUCUGCAAAAGAUAUGUGUAACAUCAAUACAAAAGAUAAAAAAAGGGGUCAUUACCUUCAACUCCAUUGCUGUGACUCUAUGGACAAUAUGGAUUUAAAGGAAUAACAUGAUUUUCAAAGAUGUGGAGCAUACUGUUUAUGAAAUUUGGGAUGACAUUCAACCGCUCACUGGUUUUUGGACUAGUAGAUUGAAGCUUUUUAUUAGUUAUAGUGUUAGUUCUAUUGCUUUAAACAUCGAUGCUUUUUGCAUAAUUUUUGGGCUUAGAUUUCUAGUCUUGCACUCUUCUGGCUUCCUGUUAUCUUUUCUUUUAUUUAAUUUGAAUGAAGGGAAAGUGAUAAGGGUGUUAACGGGGUGUCUACUUAGUGAAGAUGUUCGGGUGCACCCAAUUCACCCAUCAUAUCAUUUUUAAAAAAAUAUCAAAAAUAGCAAAAUUGACAAAAUAUUUAUAAUAUAUAGCAAAAUUUCAUAUUCUAUCAAUAAUAAACAUUGAUAGACAAGUCUAUCAGUGAUAAAAUUUAAAAUUUUGUUAUAAUUUGUAAAUAUUUUAAUUCGUUUUAUUAUUUUUAAAAAUAACAAAAAUAGUUUAAGAAUAUUGCUACUAUUAAAAGAAUAUAAUAGACAUGGUUAAUACUGAUUUUACUAUUUUUUCUACUUUUCCAUACUUUCCUUCAAUUGUAAGUUCAAAUCUUCUCUACCACGAUUACUUUUACAAAAUAGUUUUUAUUUCAAACAUCAAUAAUUUUCUUUCUUUCUAUUUUACCCUUUCUUUAUAAUCAUUUUUAAACUUAAUUUGAUGGAUAUUUUGUCAUUUAUUAAAUCAAAUGAAAUAUUGUUAAUUAAUAAAAAUGAUUUUUUUAAUUAUUAAUUAUCAUUAAAUGUAAUAAUAAUGUAGAAUAUGAAAUGUCUUUAUUUAUUUAUUUUUAAACAAAACCACCCAAAAUUUAUGAUUUUACCUUUGAUUAUAAUUAGAUUGGUUUCAAAACUUUUGAAAUUUUAGUAGUUUUGUAAUAUCAUUUUUGUUACUAUAAAAUGUGAGUUUUUUUUCACUACAUUUUCUAAAACUCAUCUUCUUUUAGUUUUGGAGAUUUAGUAGCUUGAAGAUGAAAUUUUAGUAAUUUUAGUUUGAAGAUGUAAGUUUACGAAUGAAGUUUUAGUGACUUUAUGAUAAAAUUUAUGCUUGAAAAUGAGGAUGUUGGAGUUUGUUCAUCUUAAAGAUGAAGGAACAAAUUUUUUGUUACGUGAGUUUGCGAAGAAUGACUGUAUAUUGAGCUUGAAGAUAGAAUGUAGAGGCUUAGAGAUCAUGUGCUAGAAGAUGAAGGCUGGUGGAUUGUUAAUAUUUUUAUGAUAUUUUUAUUAUUGACUUGAUUUUUUUUGUACUGAAAAUAGGUAACUGCAAAUAUGUUUUUUUAUGUUAAUUUUUUUAAUUGAUAUAAUAUUCUUCUUUCUACACAAUAAUAAUAAAUAACGUAGUAGUCCUUUAUUUUAUUAUGUAUUUAAAAAUUAAACAAAAAUAUUUGUUAUAGUUUAAGAAAUUUUAUAUUAAUUACACCCUCUCUUGUUUUAAAAUAUUUUGUUUUGCAUAACUCAUUAAACGUGAAUAUCUUAGCUUUCAAAAAAAACAAAAAUCUUAACAUUCUCAUAUUUCCACUUUUUCCUUUUAGGUAAUUUUUUUAUUUAUACCAAAUUUAUAUUAUGCUAUUUAUACAAAUUCAACUCUUUUUAUAUACUAAAAUAAAUACGACAACUUAUACUAAAAUAAAAUGACAAAUUUCAUACUAACUGGAUUUUUAAAAAGAAGAAAAAAACUCAUUUAAGAUAAAAGCUUAACUUAUUUCCUAUACCUGGUUCGUUAUCUAACAAUUUUUAAAAAGAAAAACAACAAAGUCAGUGAUACAAACUUUCACUUUCUCAACAAUAUUUCAUGAAAAAUGUAUUUUUUAUUCAAAUUUUGAAUUCACAUAUUACUAAAAAUCAUGUAAAAUUUGUCGGUCUUUCUUUAUUGCUACAAUUGUAGUGAAUGAUUUUGGAGCAUUAGUAAAACAUUGAGAUAUUAUUUUAAUAUUUUUUAGUAUGUUUAUUAUAUAGUGUCCAAUGUUCCCCUAUAUAAAAUUUCUGGAUUUGCCAAUACAAUACACUACCUCGUUACUAUGUAUUCUUCUGUCGUCUUUUCAUCAUUGGGAAGCAUUAGUGGCUGAAAUUUUUUUCAUAGUUUUUUGUGUUUGUAAUUUAUAAUAAUAAUAAAAUAAAAUUUUUAUGUGGCUUGAUUUUUUUUGUUUUUAAUUUUUUUUUUUAUGUGUGGCUAGCAAUUAGGUCAAGUACAAUAUUGUAUAAUAUUUGAAAUUGCAUAAAGAGAUCCCACUUAAUUUCUAAAUUUGGCUCAUUCCCUUGCAAGUGGAUAUGUAAAAAGAAAGUCCAAAAAUCAAAAGUGAAAAGAAUUGAAAAAAAUGAUGAAAGUGAAAUGAUAAGACUCGUGUGUUUUGUAAUGUAGCUACAACUUGAAAUCUUACUUAGGAAUUCAAAUUUUUUGGAUGGUUUGAAACAAAUUAUCAUAUUAAAAUAUAAUAUUGAAAACAAAAAUCAACGCGGAAUUACAAAAAUAGUUGAAUAGUUUUAGUUUCACCGACAUCAGGAAUGCUUUUAAAUAUAGCAAAAUGAGUUAACUUAUUUACAAAUAUUGAAAAUUUUUAUUUGAUAUGUGAUAAAUUAUGAUAGAUUCAAAUAAACAUCUAUCACUUUAGUGAUAAAUAAUGAAUGUUUAUUUGGAUCUAUUGCAUCUUAUUAUUAUUGAUAAAAAAUAAAACUUUGCUAUAUAUUUAUAAAUAUUUCUAACAGUUUUAUCAUUUAAAAUAUUUUUUUCUUAAUUAAUUAUAUAACUUACCUGACUUAUUAGUAUUUUUUAACAAGCUAGAUAUACUAGAGAAAGAAGGGAUGUACAAAAACAUAUCACCGUUUUAGCACCCUCAUCAUCAUACUUUUCGACCAAAAGCUCUUGGAAUGAUAUUAUUAUAUAACGCCAACAUGAGCUCAACUCAAUUAACACAUAUAUGUAUCUGUGGACAAGAGGUUUUAGAUUCAAAUCUCUCAACUCCAUUUAUUACAAUACCUUUAAAAAAAAUACUACUAUCUAACUUGAUUGACUUAUUAGAAUUUGCUUAAUUAAUUAUAUAAUUUGUUUGACUUAAUUAGUAAAUCAAUAUAGCUAGUUUUUCUUUUUCUUUCUUCUUUUCUAAAUAUAGAAUUACUUGUUCAUAUAGUUCCUUUGGAGCAAUAUUAUUGGGUGCAAUAUCAUGGUGCCAUUUGGAACAAGCGCAACAAAAGAGUGGUAUAUAUGUUGAAGAUAUAUAACACACUAUCACUUAGGGAUGCUAUUAUGGUUGCAUCUCUUAUCUUUUAAUUGGAAGAAUUUUCUCUAGUUUAUACAUCUUUUUUUUUUUUUUUCUAUUUCUUGUCUAUUGAGCUCUUUUCUCUAGGGGCAUAGAAUUGUUCGUGUUUUUUCUUGAACAAGUCUCCAAGUUGGUAGAAAUGAAAAUUUCAAAGUGUAAGAACACAUUUGAAAUAAAAUCUCACUUAGGGAUAAUUUGUGUAAUUUAAUUUUUUUUCUUAUCAUAUAAAAUUUAUUAUUUUAUUUUUAUUACAUUUUUAUGAUCUUGUGAAUGAUUUAUUUGCAUUUAUUUGAGUAUAUGCAUAGUUCAACUACUGCCAAUAGUUGAGAAUUGUGAGAUGUUUAAAUUUAAGAUCAACUCAUGGAUGAACUAAAAAGAAUUUAUUGAAGAAAAAAAGUCAAUGGUUGAAAUUUGGGAAUAGCAAUCUGUAUUAGGAAAAUGGUUAAAUAGUAUAAAUUUUACAAAAUAUAGCAAAAUUUUAUAUUUUAUUAAUGAUAGGUAUUAAUAAUCACGGAUAUGCUUCUAUAAGUUAUAUUGAUAGGCAACAAUAAAAUUAACUGCUAAUGUCAAUCUUAAAAUUACAAAUAUAUUUUAAAAAUUAUUAUAGUUUUUUUUUUUCUAUAUUUAAAAAGGUCUCUUCAACGCUAUAAUGAUUUUCUUUUAUUCUAAAAAUAUAUGCAUUUUUUUUUUUUUGAAACUUUGGUGGCAGAAUUGUAGGAAUGUGACGGAUUUUCUUGACUUAUAGAAGUUUUCACAUUUGACUUCUUUUUCUUUAGUUCAAUUUUAUUUUUAAAAGAUCAAUAAUUGUAAAGAUUUAAGUAUACAAACACAUAUAUUUCUAUGUCACGUAUUAAAGUAUUGGGUUCAACUUAAAUAAUUUCACUCUUUUUUUUUUUUUAAAAAAAGACUUAAAGUGUGAUUUGACAUUUUUGUUUUCAACAAUGAGAUUAAUUAAAAAGAAUUUAAUUUUACCCUUUUAGUUGAACCUAUAGGGUGUGCAAAUUUCUAAUAUUGACUUAUUGGUUAAUUGUGUAGGCUUUACCAAGUUAAACUAUAUUUAAAUUGGCUUAGCUUCUUGCUAAAGUUUUAAUAGUAGGCUUUAAAAGCUAUACAGUACAAUGAUUUACAUGGUCUAUUGUAUAAUGAUUUUUCUAAAAAUUAUAAUAUAGCACAAGAUGAACAAAGUGAAAGAAUUUAUUUAAAAACGAUAAAUUUUCUAUAAUAACAUAUUAUAGAAGUAGAAAAAUUACAUAGAAAAGCACAUGAUCUAUUAAUAGAAAACUUAUUGGUUAGCUACAAAAUUCAAAGGUAGAAAAUAUGAGUAAAGUUAUUAUUAUUUUAAUUUAGAAAAUUACACACUCUUUACGAGAUUGUGUUUUUUGGCCAACACAAUCUUAAUGGAAGACACAUUAAAAAUAACAGUCUAAUUAUAUGAAUCAGGUUCUUGCUAAAAUAUGUGAUUUUCUUAUCGAUUAAAAACUUACCAACAAGUAAAGAAUUAUUAUCACCCAAUUUUUUCAUUUCUUCUAUAUGCAAUUAUUGUUCCAUUAUUUACAAACUAUAGUAUUUGUCAAGUCAUGUGGUUGAAUGUUCAUUCACAUGUUACCAUAUUUUAGAAGAUGAUUGUUCAUUAUACAAUGAAUAUCAUAUAAAGAAAAAAAAAGUCUUAAGAAAACAACAUUGAGUUUAGAUUAAUGGUUAGUUUUACUCCCAAAUGAAGUUAGCUAUUUUUUUUUACUUCAUUGAUAUGCUUAUUUUUAUUAAUUUGAGCUUUUGUUCCUAUAACAUAUAAUACUGAUAGUAUUUUAACCAAUACCGAUUUGUUUUAAUUUUAAAAAAUAAAGUUAUAAUUUUAUAACUUUAAUUUGUACAUAGAUGGAAAGUUAUUGUAAAAGUAGGUCUGAUUUGAUCUUUUACAUGCAUAUAUCUAUAGAACAAAAAAAGUCAUCAAAAUUUAUUUUGAUUUUUGGUUUUUUAAAAGACAAAAUAUUUUUUAAAAACCUAAAAACUAAGUAGAUAUUAAAGAUCCUAAAUAUUUGUUUAAGCAAAAAAGAGUAAUAAAGAAAAUAUAAUGAAAUAAGCCUAAAUUUACAAAACAUAAAAAAAAUGAGAAUAAUUGUUUGAAGUACUUAAGUUUGGAAGCAUUGAUGCAGACAUUAUUGUAAAAUGAAGAUUCCUUAUGCAUGGUUGAUGUUAUUGGUGGAACAUAGUGAGAGAGAAAUUGAGAUCGAAAGAAGAAGAAAAUGGAAGUUCAUCACAUGUUCACAUUGAAAAAUGUGCUUUCUCUGGCCAUUGCCAACCCUAAACUCAUCUCUCUCUGUCUCACAAACUGUACUUUUUCUUCACCAUUCCUCUCUUCUCAGCCAACAGAAUUGCAAGACUUGUAAGAUUUUUUUCCGAACAACUCACCCGUAAAUAGCAUACCAUUAGGUGCACUCAAUCAUCUCAACUAAGUUGACACAAUCAAGCACCCACCUACAUGAAAGAAAAUUGAUCGCCACAAUAAAUGGAGUUCAUAUAAAAGAUUAGCUGGACUAAAGGAAAGCCUUGCAAAUUAAACGAUGGGGGAUAAAACAAGUGUAGAUCUAGAUAUAGGUCUCCAUUGAGCAACAAAACAUAACGUUUUUUUAGUGAUAACUCACUCUUAUAAAUGAUUAAUGACUCGUCCUUCAUAAAACAUAUGAAACCUAACAAUCUGUUUGUGUAAAAGUACGCGACCGCUUUUUAUACAAUGUCACAUAUAUGGAAUGAUCAUGUCUAUUGUAGUUCUAAUGUGGUGACUAUGUCUAACUCAAGCUUCAUUUUUUUCUUUCUAAGUACUCCAACUACAAUAUUCAUGAGGAAAGCGUAGCAAAGUGUGAGAGAUGACAAUUGCAAUAGACAUGACAUCACAUUAUGGGUAUGAUCAUAGAUAUGAUAAUCCGUAACACGAUACUGUAAAGAAAGCAAUAAUGUGCUUUUGUAUAAACAGAAGAUUAGAUUUGAUUGUGCUAAAGGGCGAGCCAUUAAACAUUAUAUGGAUGAGAAUGAGUCACCUGUAUAUACAAAUAAAAAAAACUCUUAAAAUAUUUAUUUAAAUCAACAAAUAUUUUAAAAAAUAGCAAAUUUCUCAAACGGUUUACAAAAUGUAACAAAAUCUAUUCACAAAUUCUCUAUAACUCAUUUAAAUUUUUUUGCUAUAUUUUAUGGAUAGUUUCGUUAAUUCUUUUUUCUACCCAUAACAAUUUUCCUAAAUCAAUUAAAUUGUUUUAACUUUUAAACUAAGUUUUUUUAAAAAAAAUUAAAUGGUAAAGAACCAAAAUGCAAUAAAAACUAUUAGUUAAUUAAGUAUAUUUGUAGCUAGUUAAUGAUGAUUAUGAUUAAUAUAAUAUGAAUUUAUUUAUUAAUAAUUUUAAUUAGAUUAUCAUUGUUAAUUAGAAUUUAUUAUUAUUUUAUUGAUUAAUACAUCAUAAUUAUAUACAUUAAUAUAAUUUAUUCUAUCCAAUUACUUACUUUACAAACACUAGUAAUUAAUAAUUUAAUUGAUACUAUUAUUGGAUGGUUUAAAUAAUUAAUUUUUUUAGAAAAUUGAAUUAUUGUUUAUCAAUUAAUAUAUUAAAAAUUUAGAGAAUUUUUACGAUUAACUUUGCAAAUAAAAUAGUAAAAGAAUUUAUUUCCACACACAUUUAUGCAUAACUAAACAUAGGCAUCUUUAAUUUUUCGCAAUCUUAUUCCUAUCCUAAUUUCCUCCGUCCAAACAGUCUCUUUAGAUAUUCGAACAAAUAUUUGUUGAGUAGUUAGAAAAUAAUUAGUUAAAGAAAUCGAUUGAAAAUAAAUAAAUUUUAAAAAACUAAAAUAGUUAUAUAUCCAACAAAUUAAAUAAGUAUUUAAUUUUAGAAUAAAAGGAUCAAAAUAUCACUUUGUUUCUAUUAUUUAAAAAUUGUUCAAACUUGAUCAUUGUAUUUCGUUUAAACACUUAAUUCUAACGUGUUGUACUUUUAAAAAUUCUUAAAAAAUUUCUAACAAAGUUAAUUUCUAUGAAAAUUGAUUAUCUAAAAAUAAUAACUUUUAUACAUGAUGGAAAUACAAUGUGUGAAUAUGAUUGAAAAUUUUAUAGUAAAAUUGUUAAUUGUCAGCAAAUUUAAAAUAAAAUGAUAAACAAGGUAGGUGAACUAAUUAAGUUCAAAGUAUAUUAACUAAAACCAUAUUUUUAAUCUAAACAAAGAAUGAUUUUGAGACUUACUCUCUAUCGUAUGCUGAAUUUAAUUGGUUUUCUUUACAUACUUUUGAAAAGCUUACAUAUAUAUAUAUAUUAAGAUGUGAGUUGGUCAACUAUUAUUACUAGAAAUGAUCAAUGGAAAAGUUAUCGUAAAUGACAAAACAUAACAAAAUUUUAUAAAUAGACCGUUUGUAAAUAUUUUAGUUCAUUAUUCUAUAAUAACUAUUUUUUAAUGUAUAUUAACCAAAGAAUUGCUUUAGAAAAUAUGUUUUAAAUUUAAACUAAAUUAAAUUUUGUUUUGGGUUUUAGAUUCCUAAUCCCAUUCCCACUUCUUUUAAAUCACUAACGAAGACGGUAAUAAUUAUGUUUGAUGGGUAUCUUCCUCGUUUGAUUUUACAUAAAUAAAAAAAAUUAUAAAUAUAGCAAAUUUACUAAAUAUAUAUAAAUAUAGUAUUUUACUUUUAUAGGAUGACGGAUAGAAAAUAAAAUUUUACUAAUUUUAUAUUUAUUUAAGUAGUUAUGUUAUUUAAAACAAUUUUUAAUAAAAAAUGUUAAAAUAAAAAAAGUAGAGUAUACACAAUGCAUGACUUAUCUUUAACAUGCAUAAUAGUACCAAUUUUCUUUUUUGAAACAACAAAAUCUUUUUUUAAUGUGACAUGACUUAUCUAUAACAAAUAUAAAAAGGGUAAAAAGGUUAAAUUAUCAUAAUAUAGUACAUUUUAUGAAUUUUAUUUUAAAAAAUUAUAAAUUUGAAAUGAUAAUCAUAUCUUACCUACCAACCUAUAUUUCGCAUGUUAAUUUAUUAAUUUUAAAUUAAACUAUUAUCUUUUAUUAUAUAAUCUUUUAGAAUAUUUUUAAAAAUAGUAAAAUAAAUUAAAAUAUUUACAAAUAAUAGAAAAAUUUUAAAUUCUAUCCGGGAUAGAAAUUGAUAUACUUUUAUCUUAAUGCUAUUAAUAUUUAUUAUUGAUCGAAUCUUGAAAGUUUUGUUAUAUGUUGUAAAUAUUUUAUCAAAUUUGCUAUUUUUGAUAAUUUUUUUUCCGAUAGUAAAAAAUUACUAAUUAAAUUAUAUAUUAUAUUGAUUAAAUGUUAAAAUACAACCCAAUAAAAUUCAUUUGCUUUUGUUUUAACCCAUGUGCUCCCACUUUUUAUUUAUAUUUUCAAUCGAACAUUUUUAGUUUUUAACAUUUGAGCUUAAUUUCUAUAAUAUAGUCAUCAAGUUUCCAAAAAGAACCUAUUAAAACUAAAAUUUGAAAAAGUAAUUAAAUCUCAAAAGUUUUGAAAACUAUUAUCUAAAAGAUCAUCUAAGAGUAUUGACUAUUAGUGACUACAAUUUUUUUUUCUUUCUACAAACAAUGUCAAAACUUAUUCCUCUAAUUUAUAUUAUCUAAAAUAUAUUUUAUUUUCUACUUCUAUUAAAGAAAAAUGGUGGAUUGAAGAUACCAAGGGUCCUGGUUGGUGUGGUUUGAAAAAAAAUCCAAACCAACAACAAUUAAAUUUUUUUAAAAAGUUUAUACUACUGAUCGAUUGACUCACCAACAAUUUGUUUGUGUAUUAUUUCAUGAUUAGAGUCGGUUUGAAACAGUUAUUAAAUUGGUCAUAGUCGGUUAAAUGACAAUUUGAUUGAAAAACCAACUCCAACCGACCGAUGUGCACUCCUAAACUAUACCGACAACGAUUAGAAAUUGUAACCCUAGUCUAAAGAAUACAUAUGAAACAUGACAAAUUGGGUGUUGUUACCUAACACGUGGUUGCUUGUGUGUAAAACAGUCAAUAAUUGAUAAAAUCGUCCUGAAUUGUACUACUAUGUGAGAGUGUAUAUAUACAAUAUAUAUAUAUAAUGUAUGAAUUUAGAAUAGAAAUAUAUAGUGUGAAAUUAGGGAAUGUGUAGAAUGAACAAGUGGAGGGGAAAGACAAUGCAUAGAAAGAUGUGAGAAUCCUGUACAAUUUUUCUGAAAUCAAAAUGGUUCACGGAUUCUUCUGACCUCAACUCACGGACAUGUCUUUGGAAUUCUCAAAUCACUACCAAAGUUCCAAAAAUCUUCAUCUUUUUCUCUUUUAAUUUUCCCUCAUUUACAAAAGUAAGAAAAAGAAAAAACAAAGCUUUGAGUAGUUUUAAAAUAUUCAUUCAAUUCUCCUCCACAUUUUCAAAGUAGAGUUCAUCCAGAUGAGACUAUUGAGGUCUUAAUUUAUUCAAGAUAUUGAUAAAAUGUUCAUAACGAUGGACGUUUAAUUUGUGAAAAGAAUUGCCUUUUUCCUUUAAAUAUGUUCUGAAAGUUUUGAAAUUUUAAUUCACGUUGUGUGUUAGAUGAAUGCAUGGAAAUGAGAAAACAUUGAUGAAAGUAUGAAGAUGUGGAUUGGAAUUUGGAAAUGUAAAAUUACAUGGAUUGAGUUUAGCAAAAAGUUAUGAAAUAUUAAAUAGUAUUUAAACAAAAAAGGAAAAAGAAAACCUAGAUUGUGCUUUUGAGAACUGGGUGGAGAUUUGGCUCAAAAAGAUAUUCAUCUUCUUUUACGUGUCUUUGGAAAUCAAAAAGUUUGGAUACUGAUGAAAAUAUGAAGUUAUCGAUUUUAUAAAAAUGUCGACGGAUUAGUGUACGUUAUUUUAAAUGAAUUAUAUUCAUCAAGAAAUUCUUUAUAAAAUUAUAUGUAAAUUUGAGCAUAGUUUCUUUCAAAUUAGUAAUAAUGAUAUUUUUAAAAAAAAAAAAAAAACUAAAGGGAUAGAUCGGUAUACGAACCUCUUUAACUAAGUUGACACUUAACCAAUAAUUUAUAUAUAAAGAAAAAUAAUUUAAAUGACAAAACUUCUUAAAAUCAUUUAAGAUAUUUAAAAGUAUAGCCAAAUAUCACGAUAAUAUAUUUGUAACAGACUAUGAUAUGAUACAAAUAGUAAUCUGUCUUAAUUUAUCACUAUUAUCGUAAGUUAAUUAACGGUAAUAUUUGCUAUAUUUUGUAACUAUUAUGUUUUAUUUUUUAAAAAUUUGAAAAUAAACUUUUAACCUAUUAUUUGGGUGGUUUUAUUAAAGAGCGCUUGCAAAAAUAUUUAUGAUACAUUUUCUAAAUUGUAAAAAUAUCAAAUUUAAAAGGUGUUAUGAGCUGUUUUUUUCUAAAUGUUUUUGUUGUCGGAUGUAAUUUUUCAUUUAUUAAUACUACUAUGAAAUGUUUUAAAUUAUUGUAGUUGAUAAAUGUUAACAAUAACAAAAGAUAUAGAAUAAAUAAAAUUAUAGCAAACAACCUAAACUUAUUUAAUAAUGUAUGGAGUGUUUAUAUAUCAAAUUAAAAUUUUUAAUGAGCUUUUAUUUCUACAAUUUUUAAGGUGCAAUAGAACAAAUUUUCAAUUGGUUACACAACUUACUACUAUUCUCAUCCUUACACAUGCUUAGUAGAGUUCGCAUUAGUGAAAUAUAUGAGUAACUUAUUUUUAUGGUUUUAAAAUUUAUCUCUUGAUAUUUUUCGUAUCAUUAUUAGGACAUAUCAAGUGAUAUUUUGUAGACACAUUUUGUUAACUUUCUACAAAUCUAAAAAAGUAUUGAAACUUGUAACACACAUGGAAUGUUAUGAUAGGAAUGUGAUAAUUUUUCUUUGGGAAACAAACAAUUUGAGAGAUUUUUGCUAAUGUCAUUUUUUUGGUUUGAUUGCGAUGUUUGUUUGAGUAACAUUCAUUUUUGGUAAUUAUCUUCCUAAUAUUUCUCAUAUUUGGUUCUUAGGAAAUGUUCUAAAAGAUAUAUCCAAUUCCAAAUAUUAAAAACAAACAGAAACUAGUUUCUUGUUCUCAUCUAAUAAACAAAGACAUUACUUUAUCAUUUUUCUCGUACAACUACAAUUCAUUAUAACUAAAAACAAUUAUUAUAACAUAAAAUAUAUAAAUAUAUUAUUUGACGAUUAACUUUUAAUGUUAAAAAUAUGGUAAAAAAUGACGAAAAUGGAUAAAAUAUUUCAGUUUAAUUUUAUUUUUUAGUUUUUUUUUUUGCCACGAACCAUAAAUAUUGUAAUAUUUUUAAUAGGAGAGAAAGAAGAAACAUUUCACCUGAACCUAUUUAGAUUUCAUGGUUCAAGAAGCUUAAAAAUAUUAAGUUUAUUAGAGCCAAACUUUGGCAACGUUGUUUUCUGUCUAAUUAGUAAGUUAAAAUUUUUGAGUUAAUCACUGACGUAAUUUUGACCCAAUAAAAAUUAAAAUAAAUAGACAAGAAGUAAGAAACAUUAUUUACGAAACAUAAUUUUAUUUUCAUUUUUAAAAAACAUCGAUGAAACGACAAACAAAAAUAUACAGAGCAACACUUUAACAACUCUUAUAGUCUUUAGAAGCCAUUCACGGGCUUCUCUUUGUUACACUCUCGGCUAUAUAUACAUAUAUAUAAUCCCAACACAUCCUCACCUCUAAUUCAUCUCUAGUAAUUUUUUUUUUGAAGAACCCUAAUGAUGGGUUCCAAAGCUUCAGCCAUGUUUUUCAUUCUCUCAAUCUUCAUGGCCUUAUCUUUGCCCCCAAUUUAUGCUUGCACUCCUUGUACUCAGCCCCACCCUCCUCAGCCCCCUUAUCACCGCCCUUCCCACCCUAAAAUUCCCCAUCCAAAACCCCACCCUCCUCACCACGGCGGUGGAGGAGGCGGAGGCGGUGGUGGCGGUGGCAGUCGUGGAGGAGGUGGUGGCGGAGGUGGUGGCAGCCGUGGAGGUGGUGGUGGAGGUGGCGGAGGUGGCGGUGGACAUCAUCCCCACCCACCAAUUGUAAUUCCCCCACCAGUUAUCUCCCCACCAGUGAUAACCCCACCAGUGAUAACCCCUCCAGUGAUAACCCCUUCACCACCAUCUACAACCUACCCUCCUUACACUAGCCCUCCUCCUAGUGGGGGUGGUGGAGGUGGAGGUGGAGGUGGCGGCGGUGGCGGUGGAGGUGGUGGUGGACCAGGCUCAGGGCAAUACCCUCCACCAGCGCCGCCGGUUCAACCGACGUGCCCAAUAGAUGCAUUGAAAUUAGGUUUAUGUGUGGAUGUUCUUGGAGGGUUGGUGCAUAUUGGUCUAGGGAAUCCAGUUGAGAAUGCAUGUUGUCCAGUGCUUGGAGGGCUAUUGGAACUUGAAGCAGCAGUAUGUUUGUGUACAACUUUGAGGAUUAAGCUUUUGAAUCUCAAUAUAUUCAUUCCUUUGGCACUACAAGCUCUUAUUACCUGUGGCAAGAAUCCUCCUCCUGGCUUUGUUUGUCCUCCACUUUAGGGAUAUAUCCAUCAUCAUUUUUACUUCUUGUUUCUAGGUCUUAAUUGUCUUUUUGAUGGGGUUUUAUGUUAACAUCUCUGGGGUCUUUUUGUAGUAUUCAUCAUUUGGUUUUAUCUUUGUUGUCUUGGAUAUGCUUUUUUUUUUUUUUUCUUGCUAAGAAAACUCACUUUAGUUAUUUUUAUUUUUAGGUAUAUCUCUAAUAUUAUCUAUCAUUUACUAAUGAUGUAAUGAUUUAGAAUAUUUUCUGAUUCUCACUCUCUUGAAGUUGCAACUUUUUUUAGUUUAACACAUGAAUCUUCUCUCUCUCUCCCCUAUGUUUUUCUGGCUAACAAGCAUGUAACACUAGAGAAAUUUAUUUUUUUUUCACUUUCAACUUUACUUCAUUUGAUCUUCUUUUAUAUAAUAACUAAUAAGCAAGUAUUUGAUAUAUCUGUUAAAAAAAGGUAUUUGAUAUAUCUGUUAAAAAAAGGUAUUUGAUAUAUAAAAGACAAAAAAGGAGAGCAAAAUUGUUAUCUUAGAAUUUCUAUUGUGUUUCUAUCCUAAUAAAGGAGUAUAUUAACAUAAAAAUUUCGUCGCCUGAGAGAUUCGAACUCUCGCGGGGAAACCCCAUGUACUUAGCAGGCACACGCCUUAACCACUCGGCCAAAGCGACGUGUUAUAUGUGUACAAAAAGCACAAUAAAAAUAUACAAUCUCAUGUACAAAAUUAUUGUGGGGUUUGAAGCAUUGAUUUCCCAAAAACUAAUUAGUUCCUUUUAACUAAAGUCAUUAAUAAUAUCAUAAGAAUAGUUCAAUCAAAAUUGGAGUUUGUACUCACUUUUUUUUAUCUUUUAUAUUCAAAUCUAUUCCUAUUUUAACAAUUAAAGUUCUCAUAUAAAUCAUUUGGAUAAGUAUGUUGGAGAGGUUUAGCUAUAUAUAUAUAUAUGGACAUUUAUUUUCUCUAACAAUAUUAUUGGCUAAAAUAACACAUAAUAUGUUCGUGACAAAUAAACUUAAACCUAAAAAUAUAUAUUAAAAAAUGGUAUAUAUAUAUAUAUAUAUGAGUAUAAAAGGAAGAGAAAGAGAAUGUUACAUAAACCAAAAUUUCAAGUUCUGCAAUAAAAUACAAAGUCCAGACUUAUACUUUGGUAAAGGCUUAUCUUCUGCCAUUUUCUAGUUUUGUACCCUAAAGUGUGAUAUCAAAUCAUGGAAUAGUAAUUAGAGUUUUUCUCUUUCAUUUAAUAAAAUUAGAAUUCUAAGUUUAGUUGAAGCUGUGUCUAUUCCAAUUAAUAUAUAUUUUUUAUGUACUUUCAACUUACAACUUUUUGAACUUACAACAACAUUUAUCCAGUUAAAUCUUAAAACGUAUCUAAUUUAGUCUUUAUAUUUUUUCUACAAGAAAAAUGGUCUACGAUGACAUCUAUUUUUGUAGUAAAUAAAAUCCGUGAUAGUUAUUUGUAGUCAUAUAAUCGCAUGUCGUAGAAAGACCAUUGAUGACAGUUUUAAAAAACGGUCACAAUAAAUGUUUUCAUGACGAAAAGUAAAUGUCAUUAUUUAAUAUUUUAUGAUAACAAAUAACUGUAAUCUUUUCUAUAUUGACGACAGUUAUAAAAUAUCAUGAAUCUAUAUAAUAUGAUAUUUUUUCUCUAUCAAGAAUAUGUUAGUCGUAACCGUUUUUAUAAAUUCUUAUAUUUUUAAAAUUUAUUGCUUUAUUUUAAAUUUUGUGGCAGGAGUAGAUGAUUUAUUUUCCAACAAUUAAUAUAGAAAAACAUCAUAAUUUCAAAUUGGUGCACACCAAUUAGCAAUGAAUUAAAGUGAUGAUGUUAUCUUAAAGGUUAGAUUGGCCGUCCUUCGCUUGGUAUUUGAAUGAAUCAUUCAAGCCAAAUAGCCCAUAGAAUAGUCCCAUGACAUUACCUUUUACUACAGGUACAUUAGUAUGAACAACGAUUACAUUUGAAUAGGAAGGACUUUGAGGAUAAUGAAACAUAUAAUUAAGAAAAUCUUUACAAAAUUAAAAGUUGUUAACUACAAUAACUUUAAAGUUGAUCAAUGUAUUUAACUUAGAACAACUAUAUGUUUAAUAAUGAUAUCGAUCUUAAGAAUUUUAUCCUAGAAAAGAUGCAAGUGAGUGAAGCUAACACACGGGCUGUCAAAAGUUGUAUUAUCUUUCAAUUAUCUUUCUUUGUAUCGUCAUGUGCUGCAUGAUUAGUCCAUGCUCUACUUAGGGCCUUCAACCUCUCUCAACAUUACUACUUCCAAAAGUGUUUGAGUUUGUCCUUUAUUUUUAGCCAAAACUGUCUACCUCAUUAGCUCUUACCCAUCAAAUAAUGUAUUACCAAAACCGUUAAAAUCACUUUUAUCGUUUAAAAAUAAUUUUUAAUCAUAUUAUUACUUAUUUAAAGCUAAAUUUGACGAUAUAAAAUUUGUAUCUAAAAUUGUUAAAUUAAUUUUAAUAGUGAUUUCUAGACGUGUUUUUAGGAUGAUUUUAAAUAAUUGAAAAAAUAAUAUACGUACUGUAUUUUGCUUGCAUAAAAGUUUUAUUAUUAUUUAUUUAGUAAAAUUGCAAGAAAUUUUUUUAAGAUUAGAUUUAAUGUUUUUUCAAGAAAGGAAUCCAAAAUUACAUAAACUAAAAUUAAACAAGUGUCAAAGUACGUAACAAAAUAGUAUUUAAUUGAUAUAUUUUAUUCUUUCUAUUUUAAUGUCACAUUUACCUAGUGAAAACGUAAAAUUGAUAAAAUUUAAAAAGUGAGUCUUAUUUGAUUAUUUGUUGUGUUGUUUAUUUGUGCUUUCUGCAUUUGUUGUGACAGGUAGGGCUCACUUUCUAACCUGUAAUGAAAUAAUACAACAUUGUUGAUGAUUAAUUGAGAGUACUCAACCUUAUUGCACUGAUAAUUACAUAGUAUCAUUAUCAUUAACUGUAACAUCUAUCAUUAUUGUUAUGCUAUACAGGUGAAAACGAUCAUUUUUUUACAUCUUUAUUGUUAUCGUUUCCAAUAUCGUUACUGCUUGACAUUGAAUUUGACAAAAUUCAUAAUUUUAAGUAAACACAAUCAAAAUAAAUUUAAUUGCAUUUGUAAUUCAAGUUCAUUACAAUUGAUUUAUCAAUAGAAUUUCACUACAAUAUACACUAAUUUUUCUUACAGUUUUAGUAAAUGUGGCUAUACCAUAUGUAUACAAGUAAUUUUACCAAGUGCCAAGCUCUAACCUUCUCUCUCUCUUUUUUUUUUAUCUUUAUUUGUUUCUCACAUAUAUAAUUGUUAACUACUUUUAGAUAUGAAAUCUCGUCAUGUUAUAAGAUUUGUGAUUUGAUCCUCACUUCUAUAGUUGCUUAAAAAAAUCAAGGAAGGAUUUGAAUGAGAGAACAAUAUCAGUAUGUUUUUCUUUUGUUUUGUUUUUUUUGUUGUUAGGUACGAAUAUAAAUGAUAGCUAGCUAUUUAUGGCUUGUCAAAGAUUUUGCCAUUUGUUCUCCCCUACAUUGCAAGAUCGUCACCUAACUCCAUCUUCUAAUAUAGUUAGAUUUUGCUACAAUAACCAUUUUUAAAAGGAUAAAGACAAGAUGGAUGCGAAUUUCAACCAACUGAUCCUUUUGAUUUUACUUUCAUGUGAAUUUGCAAUAUUUCUGAAUCACCAACUCAUACUCACGGGAUGAACAGUUUUUAAUAAUCAUUGUCUAUUACUCUUAUAACAAUUACCAUGGUCCCAUUGAUUGAACUAAAAGAAAAAGAAAAACAUAUAUAUCUUCCAAAAAGUUGUCUAACAAACCCUAGAAUAUAAUCCACACAUAAUAAUCUGAUUCUCUAUUCAGUAACCAGUGAAAUUUUUUACUUUUAAAAAUAUUAUUGUACGACUUAUUUUUUUUCACAAUUUUUUAACCAUAGUUUUCCUCUUUAUCUUGAAACAACGCAUUUGAAUUGUUAUUCAACUUUUAAAAUUAAAGUAAAGAAGAAGAGAAUAAGUCAUAAAAUAUAUUGCGAAAAAAAAAACAAAAAGAAGAAAGUUGUACCUCAAAGUAGUGUUUAUAGGCUUCUUGUUGUUAAUUAAAAACAAUUAAUUAAACAACGGUAUAGGUAGAGUUGUAGGUAGCAAACAAUUUGAUAUAUUAAAGGCUUCCUUUUCAAGAAAUUAAAAAAAAAAAAAAAAUGAUUAGCAAACGAAUUUUGAGUAAAUGAGAUCAUAUAGUUCCUUCAUUCUGGAAUGUGUGAUAUGUACAAUAAUUUUGUUUUAAUUUUAUCAUUCAUCCACCAACUUUAUGUCACGUUGUCUUACUAGCUUUUGCAUCGAGUUAAAUUAUGAUCAAAAUAAAAAAUUUAAGUGUCUUGUUUGAGUUAACUAUUUGGUAAGUACCAAUGACGAAUGAAAAAAAGAUAUGAUAUUUGAUCUUCCAUGAAACUUGCACAGGAGAAUAUUUUCAAGAGCCCAAUAUAUUUGAUUAAUAAUUAUAAGAUACGAAGACUCAAAAUCUCAUGUAGGGAUCAGACAUACAUUAUUAAUACAAAGGAAAAGGCAUGCAAAACACAUACACUACGACUUUUAAUUAUAAUUUCAAAACAAGCAAACCAAAGACAUGCAUAAUGAAAACAGCUUUCAUUUUUCCCUUUUGAGAUUUCUAAUUAAGAGCAACUUUAGGGACAUUCGAAUUCACGAGGACUGUUUCUGCUACAAACGUUAAGUAGCAAGCUGAGAUUAAUUGGGAGGUUUAUAUUAAGGCCUAGAAUACUUGCUCUUAUUGCAGUGCAAAGACAAAUAGCAGCUUCAAGAUCAGCUAGCCCUUGAAUCAGAGUGCAACAUGGAGUAACAGGUGGUGAACCAAUAGUUGCGUUUACUAGGGAAAGCACUCUAGCACAUAUACCUAUCUUGAGAGCAUCUCUUGGACAAGUACCUCCACCUGUGCCUGGAUUAUUGCCACCUGAACCGGGACUAGGAGUUCCACCAGAGCCAGGACUACCACCGGAACCAGGAGUUCCACCAGAGCCAGGACUACCACCGGAACCUGGGCUUCCACCAGAGCCAGGACUACCUCCGGAACCUGGGCUUCCACCGGAGCCAGGACUACCACCGGAACCUGGGCUUCCACCUGCUCCAGGACUACCACCGGAACCGGGGCUUCCACCGGAGCCAGGACUACUGCCGGAACCAGGGCUUCCACCAUGACCAGGAUGACCCCCAAAACUCGGGCUUGGUUUUGGCCUUGUGACAGGGUGAGAACACGAGCCACAAGCAGUGACAAGGGAAAAGAAGAGAAGGUUAAGGCAGAAGAACAAAGCAAUUGAGGUUGUGGUUUUGGGAGAAGCCAUGUUUAAUUUGAAACCGUAGAGAUGUGAUAUCCCCUUGUUUACCUGGAGGGCUUCUAUGAGUUGAGAAUGCAUGGAGAAAAAAUGUGGGGAAUUGGAAGGUUUUUAUAGGGUUUAAGAAAUGGGUAUUGAGCUAUUGGGUAAAUAGGACAAUAAUUGCUUAAAAUAAAAGCCAUGCACCCAUGUGUGAUUGCCAUUUGGACUUUUAGGCUGGCAGAUCGAUCAUGCUUACAACCUAAAACUUUCUUUUGGACAUUUGCUAUAAAUGAGGCUAAUUCUGAAUUGGGUUAAAAGAUAUGUCAAAGUUAAAUUCAUAUCAAUCAAUCAAGUGAUAAAUUUAUGUAUAAUUUACACAAUAUUAUUCUCUAUGUGAAGUUUAUUUUACUUUUCCAAAUCAUUAAUUUUAAAAUUUUCAUUAAAUGGUUAAUUUAGUAACAUUAUUUUGUAAUCUUUUACUGUAUUUUUUCCUCUUCCGUAGAAAAAUUAGGAAAAAAAGUUUGUUUAGUUAUUGUUUCUUGUUUGACUUUUUGGUAGAGUACUAUUUUGUUUGACUUUUCUUGAGUACUUUUUUUUUUUAAUUUAAUUUCUUAUUAUCUCACAUUUUUAAUGAGAGAAAUGUAAAUUGAUUUUUUUAUAAGAUAUUUCAAUUAGGUUAAUGUUCAUCCAUAGAACCAAGUGGCAAAAUUUUUAUAGUCAAUUCAUUAACGCUCAUUAUUUUUUUAGAAUUUCAUAUUUAUCCUUAUUGAUUUAUAACGAUUUUUCAAUUAUGAUUCUUUUUCUUCUUCCUGAUCAUCGUCUUUCUUCUCAUUUUCUGCAAUUUUUUUCUUCAUUCCAUCGUCUUUUUCUCUUCUUCUGCAAUUUUUCUUUUAUUUUUUUCUUCGAACCGUUAUUUGGUUCGAGAUCGUGUACCAAAUAUAAAAAAUAUUUUUAUAUUUUUUUCAAAAUGUUAUUUAGUUGUUUAGAUCAUGUGAAAAAUAUAAAAGAUCACAAAAAAAAUAGUUGGGAUAUUGGAUAGGCAAAUCAACGAUAGUAUCAAAAUUUAAAUGAAUCUUUAAAAAAAUCGUUUAGAUUUGGAUUUCUAAAUUUAAACGACCAAAUCUAAACGAACGUGUACAAAAAUAGCCAAAUUUAAACUAUCAUGUACAAAGAAUCUUUAAAAAUCGUUUAAAUUUGACUGUACAAAUUAAACAAUCAAAUAUAAUCAAAUCUAAACGAUCGUGUACCAAAUCUAAACAAAAAAUAGCUAAAUUUAAACGUACAAAAGAAAGUUGAAAAAAAUUUAAACGAUCGUGUACCAAAUAUAAAAAUCUGGAAAAAAAUCGUUGAGAUUUGACAACCUAAAUUUAAACGAUCAUGUAUAAAAAGAUUAUUAAAAAAAAUCACAUUUUGAUUUGAUCUUUCCCAAAUCUAAACGAUCAAAUUCUAAAUUAUAGUUUCCCAAAUAUAUUAUGCGUGCUGGAUGGCAAUUAAUCUAUUUUUGAAAUUUUCUAUCGUAGGCCUGUGAGCUUUUUCCAUUUCAAAAUUGUUCUAUACAGUGUAAAUAUUUUGAUGGUUUGUUCUAUUUGUGAGAAGACCUCUAAUAUAUAUAAUUUAUUUUUCAAAUUUUAGUCAGCAAUUCAAUUGAUUGUACUUAAGAAAACUUAAAUUUAUAGUCCUACUACUUGUAUUUUUGUUGGUUUUUUUAAAUGCACGUUGUUUUAUUAACAUUUUUCCUCUAAAUUUUGAAGACAUACUUAUAUAUUAUUUUUUCUAUAAAAAAUAGAAAAUGUUUUUAAAUAAAUUUUAAAAAAAUAUAUUUACAAAAUAUAACAAAAUUUUAAAUUCUAUUGUUUAUUAGAUUCUAUGAAGGAUAAGUUUAAAUUUUUGUUAUAUUUUAUAAAUAAUUUGAUUUAUUUGGCUCUAUAUUUGAAAAGGUACCUAAAAAUUAUUAUUAUUAUCAUUUAAUUAAUUUAAGUAAACAUUAUUUUUAAAAAGAGUAAAUAUAAGAUUUUAUCAAAAUUACAUGAAAAAAAUUGGACAACAGUACAAAAAUAAAAUGGUGUAAACCUCAAUGCAAAAAUAAAAAAGACAGCAUCUAUAUUUUAAACCAUUUAGAAGCUAAAACAAAAACAACUAGAGUUAUGUGUUUCCAAAAUUUGAAAAUAUAAAGUUGGUAAAAUUUCUAAAAAAAAUUAAACACAAGAAAAACCUACUAAAUUAAACGCUUCUAAAAUCACUAAACAAACAAGAAGCCAUGAGGUACCAAACAGACUUAUGUAUAACGUCUCAUGGAACGAACUAAGUAUAUGUAAUAAGAAACACCAUAAUCAAUCAUUCAAUUGAGGACACUGCUUUUGUUGUUAAUUAAAUAUAUUUUAGGGAAAAAAAAAACAAACAACCCUAGUCCUUUGGUUUACAACUUUAUGUAUCAAAUAAUUAAGUCACUAAAGAUCGAUCUAUCUAUGAAUGGGGGUUUCUAAGUACUCGUAAGAUCAAUACUUGAGUUAAGUUUUCUUAAAAAAAGGAAUACCCAUUUGAUAGAAGAUUCCAAUUAGAAUCUUUAAAUUAGGGUUUAGAAGCUUAAACAUGAAGAAAGAAAUAGAAAAAGGGUCCCAUUUAGUUGUAGGUAAGCUUCACAUGUUUUGAGUCCCUACCAAGUGCUAGGCCUUGGUGUAGCUCAAUAAUGAAUGAUUAGUGUUCUACUAAAGAAAAAGCCUUAUGCAUUGUCACGGGACUUUCUUAACACUUUAACUUCUUUUAUUUUCUUUUAUUUAUUUUUUGUUUGUUUUUGUAAAAUUAUUGUUUAUUUUCAUUUCUCUUUAAUGGGUUAUUUCAUCAACUUUAACAGCUAUUGAUAUCAAUCUAAUCCUUGUCUUUGAUCGGAUUGUUUCAUUCAUAUAAUUGGAUAAUUUUCUUCUUUUUGCUUGAUUAAUUCCUUUUUCUAGAAAAUAGAAAGGUAACAAAAGAGAAAUUAUAGGUAAGAGUAAGAAUUUAAUUAAUCUUAUGAUCAACUCUUUUUUCUCUUAUGAUAUCUGAUGAUUUCCUCUUGAACUCAAAAAUUCUAGAGACGAUUUAGAAAACAAAUUUAUCUCUGCAUCCUUGAAAAUCAAAUCAUCUUUUGAAGACCAAAAGCACUUGAAAGAUGUGUUGAAUAAGAAAUCUUGAGACCAAUCACAAAUUGUAAUGUGAUUUACUAAAUUAGUGAUGAAAAAUAUAAGUAAUAAAAUUUGGGACUAAUUAAAAAAAUUGGCAUGCAUGUGUCCAAAAUUAAAAUCGAAAACAUAAAUUGACCAAUUCUAAUGAUGCCACAUGUUUUCAUUAUCACCAUUGGAUCAACUUAAUUAUUUUGGUCCAAUUAAGUAUUAUUUACUUGGACUAAGUUUAAUUGAACAAAAAAGAAAGGUCUAUAGACCAGCCAGGCUCAAACCUAUAAAGUUCAUUAGAGAACUUUAUAAAUAGAGGAGUUCUCUUUAUUUAUAAGAGUGGAAAAUUUUUUACUCCAAAAGGUUUAGAGAGAAUUCUCCUAAGAGCUAAAAGACUCCCUAACUCCUAAAGCCGACCACCCCUCGAAGAUUGAAGCUCCUUGAAGCGCUCCUUUGAAAAUACAAACUUUCUUUCAAGACUCAACUUCAAGAACAUCACGUGCUCCAUUUUCUCAAAUCAACCGUAAGCAUCAAAUCAAGAGAGAAUCAAAUGAUCAAAUUUUAGAGAUCGAACCACAUCACAUCAAAUUAACACAACUACAACAUCAACUCAAGUUCAACUCCACGAAUCAAAUUUCUUCGAAAAUCUCAUGCGAACAAAUUGGCACGUUUAGUGGGACAUCUCUAUCUCUCAUCUCUAUCUUUUCAUCUAAAUCUACAAGCAAACCAAUGGCACCAAAGAAAGUUGCAUCUAAAUCUUCUUUUGCAAGCGACGCCUACACGAGACUUGUCACCUGCAGUUGCUCUAAGGGAUAAUCCAAGAGCAGGAUCAAGGUUCUGUCAUCGCGCAUAACAUCCUUAAGCAAUUAAUGGAGCCUUCUAAGGAUGAGAUUUUCAUCAAGAAAAAUCCUCUGUAUGAUAACUCUGAUUCUGCCUUUAGUAAGUCAAAGAGAGAAGCACACUCUGAUGUGAUGUUUGUCAUGAUGGUCGAUGUAACAGUCGAGGCUGCCAUGACAAAAAUAGAGAGAAAAAUUAAUCUCUUGAUGGAGGUUGUUGAUGAACGAGAUCACGAAAUUACAAUAUUAAGAGAGUAGAUGUAGACUCGUGAAACUGCCAAAUCGAGUCAAACUCCUAUUGUCAAAGCUGGUGACAAAAGGAAGAAUGUGGUGUAAGAAAAUCAACUACAAUAACAAUUAGCUAUUGUUGCUUCUCUCUCAGCUCAACAAUUACAAGAUAUGGUCACGAACUCCAUCAGAGCUCAAUAUGGAGGCUCAUCCCAUACUUCUAUCAUGUACUCUAAGCUGUAUACCAAAAGAAUUGAUAACUUGAGAAUGUCGCUUGGGUACUAACCUCUAAAAUUCCAGCAGUUCGUUGGAAAUGGCAACUCGAAGCAACACAUUGCUCCCUUUGUUGAAACAUGCGAGAAUGCAAGAUCAAGAGGAGACCAACUAGUCAGACAGUUUGUUUGAAGUUGGAAGAAAAAUGUUUUCGAGUGGUAUACUGAUCUGGAGCCAAAAGUCAUUGACAGUUGAGAAUAGUUGGAAAAGGAGUUCCUAAACCGCUUCUACAGCACCAGACGCAUCUUAAGCAUGAUGGAGCUUACAAACACAAGACAAUGAAAGAGAGAGCCAGUCAUCAACUACAUCAACUGAUGGAGAGCUCUAAUUCUUGAUUGAAAAGAUUAACUCACUGAACUGUCCGCAGUGGAAAUGUCACCCAGGACAUGCAUUGGGAACUUCUUUAUAUUCUGCAGGAAAUAAAACCUCGCAUGUUUGAAGAGUUGAUGACUCAUGCCUAUGAUAUGGAACUAAGUAUUGGCAAUAGAGGAGCAAAUGGUUUAUGAGUUCCAAAAAUAAGGAAUGACAAGAAUGAAAUCAACGAUGCUAAAAAGAUCGUGGAUAGUGUCACAAAAGAGUCUAUUGUUGUUCAUGCGAUUCUGUUGUAAUCUUUCUCUAAAAUAAAGGAAACAAAAGUGGAAAUAAAAUAUGAUGGCGACGAAAAACAACGCCCAAAUUUUAGAGAAAGACAGGAAAAUGUUUAUUAAUUUCUUGACUCAGAUGUUGCAGACAUGCUGGUGCAAUUGAUAGAGAAACGACUUAUUCAACUGCCAGAAUGCAAACGAUCAGAACAAGCAGAAAAAGUAGAUGAUCCUAACUACUCCAAGUAUCAUCGGGUCGUUAUGAUGAGUUGGUUUCUCCCUGCUUGCAAAAUUUGAAGCAUCAUAGUUGGAAAUAAAGAACUGCCUAAGAUUGCUAGAGAUCAAAUGGAAGGUUAUUUUUCAUUGGCUACCCUCAAGAUCAAGACAAGACCUUUGUAAUAGGGGCACCUUUAAAUCUUUUUUUGAAUUGGAUGAUAUCUUCAUAACCAUAUGUAUUCUUUUUUGCCGCAAUAAAAAUGGAUUGUUGGCUUUCAUUUUUUUUUUUUCCAAAAUGUUCUUUUUGGUCAUCAUGAAAAAAAAUGAUAUUAAUGAAGACUUUAGAAAUGAAAUCAACACGAAGGUUUGAUUUCGUUUUUUCAUCUCUUAACUAUGAGGAGAUGAAUUAAAAUAUGUUGUGUCCCGAGAUGUUGAAAUAGAAAACAAGGGAAUUGUUGAGCAAGUGAGCCAAAAUCUUUAAGUGAUUAUGUUGCAAGAUAUAUGAUUCUCAACGAUGUUAGUAGAAAAAUGGAUUAUUAGGAGUUUUUCUAUUUUUAUCAAACACCAUUUGGGGGCGGUCUUCCUUUAUUUUAAUACAUAAGGUGAAACUGGCUUUAUCUAUCGAAGUCCAAGUGUCAUCCAUUUGAGUAAGACUAUGCAAAAUACAAGACGUUUGUCAUCGUUAUUUGUAGGAGAGAGCCAAUUUCGAAGAAAAUUCCCUCGCUUUAGAGACUAUAAGAGCGUUUAAAGUUCAUCACUUAUGAAGAGUUUAAAGUUUGAGGAAAGACUUUAAGAUCAAGAUCUAAGUUGCGUGAUCACUGUUUUUUAUCGACCUACUUAUUACCAUUGGUCUCAAAGACUAGAGAUGGUGUUUUAUUUGGUAAAUAAUCUCUAUGAAGAUUUUCAAAGCAAAUUAGCAGCUAGAUUACAACUUAAGUUCAUGAUGCCUAAUUGUCAGUUUUUGUGGAAACGUAAACCACUUAUUUUGUAUACUCUAACUUGUUUUCUUCUUUUAAAAAGAAUCUAGAAUAUAUUUGAAAAAAGAAAACUAUUAAAAUAAGCAUGUUUCAGUAAGCAUAUACAUGCGUACAAGCUUUCAUGAAUGACAUUUACCAAUUUGAUUUUAUCUGUGAUGGCGCUUGUUUAUCCCUGACCUCCAGCUUAUUUAUUCUUUUGUCAUGAGACACUGGUUUUAUCAUUGACCCUUGAAACCGUGUUCUUGUGAUGAUGCUUGUUCUAUCCCUAGCCUCCAGUUUAUUUAUUCUUCUGUCAUGAGACACUUGUUUUAUCUCUGGCCCUUGACACCAUGUUGCUACGAUGACGCUUGUUUUAUCCUUGGGCUCCAACUUAUUUAUUCUUUUGUCAUGAGGUGCUUGUUUUAUCCCUAGCCCUAAACACUGUAUGAUUGAGAUGACGUUUAUUUUAUCCCUGACCUCCAGCUUAUUUAUCCUUUGUCAUUAGACACUUGUCUUAUCAAUGGUCCUUGACGCCAAUACUUUAUCUAAAAUAUCUUAGUUUAAUGAGCAUAUUUAUCAUUUAAAAAUAAUAAAUUAAUUUAUUUAUAAAAAAUCUUUUGAUAUCACAUUUAUCUUAUUUGUACUAUUUUAGUAAAAAAAAAAUUUAUUUGUUUUAAAUAAAAUCUUCUAAUAUCACUUUCGACUUAUUUAUAUCAUUUUAGGACAAAAAGAAAAUCAAUUUUAAACAAUUAUCUUUUAAUAUCCAUUUGAUUUAUUAAUUUUUCACAAAAUCUCAAAAUGUCUCAUUUAAUUUACUUUAUUUAUUUUAAGAAAAUGAAAAUUUAUUUUAUUCAUGUUAUAUCCAAUUUUAAUUUUAUUCUUAUUAUUUUUUCUAAUUAUUGGUACACCGUCUAUAAAUAGGGACCUUUGUCAUUUGAAAAUAGGGGAACUAGACUUUCUUAGAAAAAAAUUCUUUAGAGAAUCUCCGCGAAUUUGAAGAAAAUUUAUGCAAAAGGUGAAUUUUAUAUUCAUUUCAUUAUGUGUCUUUACUUUUUUUUUUUCGCUCUUUAACAAAUCGAUCAAGUCCCAUGUUGAAAUAAAAUUAGUUGGAGGUUGCAUUCGAAUUUACUUCCAAUGAUCUGAACCUCAUACAACAAGUAAUCUUCUUUGGGAUUCAAAUUCUUAUUUUUCUUUUCUUCUCUUUUUUUAAAAGAUAAAGAGAAAGAAAAGAUGUAUAAGGAAAAUUUUGUUAAUUUUCUCGUCACUUUUUUCUUUUUAUCAAUUUUUAAAAAAAUUUCUUUGGCCUUUUUCUUCUCUCAAAAAAUUAGGGAAAAAACAAAGAUAUAAGAAAAACAUUUGUUUUUUUUUAUUUAUCGUUAUUUCAUUAUUUUUUUUUUAAAUCCAUGACCUUGAUUUUCUUUUCUCUAAAAUAUAGAGAGAAACAAUGAAAAAUAGAUGAAUUUUUUUCAUUAUUAUUGUUAUUACUAUUAUCAUUUUUGUUUUUAUUAUUGCUAUUUCUUUUUUUUAUAAUUAUUUUUUACUAUUAUUGUUUUUGCCUUUUUACUUAUUAUUGUCAUUAUUAUUAUUAAUUAUAAUAAUAAUAAUUAUUAUCAUUCUUAUUAUUUUUAUCAUUAAUGUUUUUUAUUUUUUUAUCCGCGGCAGCCACCCUCUCCUAUUUUCUUUUCUUUUCUUUUUCUUUCCUUUCUCAUUCUUUCUUUCUUUAUACUUUUCUUCUUCUUUUCCUUUUUUUCUCCUUAUUUUAUUUAUUGAUAUUAUGUUUAAUUUUUUUACUUAUUCACGUUACUAUCAUAAUAAUUAUUUUUAUAUACACUUAAAUGCAAUUCUUUGUAUUUAGAAUAUUUAAUAUUAAUCCUUUCAAAUAUUUUUUUUAUGUUUUAAAAUAAAAAUUCUUUUUUUAACCAUCUAGCAAAUUUGUCUUUAAUCUUGUAAAUUUUUUUUAUGCUUUUCAAAAUCUUCAAAAUUUAAUCUAUCAUUUCAUAAAGUUUUUUAAAUCAAUUUGUUCUAAUAACUUAACUGUUUUCUUUAAAUAAAAUCGUACGACAGAAUCUAGAAAAUUUGUGAGUCUGAUUUUAUUAAAUGGGUGUUGUGAGAUGCUAAUUACCAGAGAAGGUAUUAGCAUCCACAACACCAUUUAGAAAAACGUGACCAAAUUUCAUAUCUUGAAUUGAAAAUAUUUUUUAAUUUAUUUUAAAAUUAAUGUUUUAUUUUACCCCUUGUUACACCAAUAUUUGAAGCAACGAUGUCAUGAAAAUAGUGGAAUAAUACUAUAUAUUGAAGAAAAUUUCUCAUCUUAAGAAAAUGAGAAAAUUAUUACAAUUUCUCAAAAUCUAUCAUAGACUAGUCUUCGAAUAAUUUUUUUUUUUAAAAAAAGAACAUUGAUUAAUAUCAUUUUUUUCUUAGAAUCAAAUUUCAGACUCCCUAAGAUAUUGAUCCCUCACCUAAAUAAUCUAGAAAUAACGGGCUCCCAGAAAGAUUUAGAUUCCAUCGUAGGAUUUGUUUUAGCAAAUAUGUGAGUUAUUAAAAAAAUGGUUGAUUAGGAAACCUUAUGAUAUAUAUAUUUAUAUUUUAAACUUAAAAAAGACAUUUUAAAAAAUAGUUUUAUACAAAAAAUUCUAAAUGGUUAAAAAGAAAAUUUAAGAAAGAUUUCAAAAUUAGGUCAAAUAGAAAAUAGUAUAGAAUCAAAUAGCACACAACAAAUUAAGCAAAUAAGAUAAGAUUUUAUUUUUUAGAAAAAUAUUGGAUAUCGAUUUUGGACUCCCAAAAAAUUGAUUUCCUCAUUUUGAGAAUUUAGAAAUAAUAUACUCCCAAGUAUUUUUAAUUCCAUUGUGAUCGUUUUUUUCUUUUUAAGAAUAAAAUGUAAAGAAGUUAAAGUAAAUUUAUUUGUUUCUUCUAGAAAUGUAAAGAUCUUUAGAUUUUUUUCUUCUAGAAAAUAUUGAAGUAAAGAGAAAAAAACAUUAUUUAACUCAUGCAAAAUAAUAUUGUAAUAUUGUUAAAGUAAAUUUAAUGUACAACCUAAGAAAAAACAUGCAUACAUAAAUUUAAGUACAUAUGAGAAAUAACUAUUAUGAUUCUAAUGCAAAUAAGUAAAUAAGUAAAAAUAUAUAUAUAAUAACAUAGGGGAAAAUAAGGAAAGAAGUAAUAAGGAGAAUGAAAAAAAUGAAUGAAUGAAUAAGAAAAAAACGAAAACAACGAAAUGAAAUAUUUUUAAUAAUAAUAAUAAAUAUAAUAAUUGUAAUAAUAAGUUAAAAAAAAGAAAGAAAACAAUAAUAUAAAAGUUGGUACAAUAAUAAUAAUAAGUUAAAUAAUAAAAAAGUAAGGGUUAAAGAGUUGAAAUUUUAAAAAAUAACGAUAAGAACGUUAAAUAAAAACAUUUUUCCUGUCUCUUUCCUUUUUCCUAAUUUUUUUUAGAGAAGAAAAGGCUAAAUAUUUUCUUUUAAAAAAAUGAUAAAAGAAAAAAAAAAUAGCAAGAAAAUAAUAAAAAAUUGCUUAUACAUUUUAUUUUCUUUCUCUAUCUUUUAGAAGAAGGGAAGAAAAGAAAAAUAAGGAUUUAAAUUUCAAAGAAAUUACUUGUUGUAUGAGUUGUGAUCAUUGGAAGUAAUUCCCUACUAAAUGCAACCUGCAACUAAAUUUAUUUCAACAUAUUAUUUAAGUUGUUGAAGAUAAAGAGAAGGAAAAAAACGAGAUAAGGACAAUAAGGUAAUUGAUAAAAUGAAGAACCUACCUUUUGCCGAAAUUUUCUUCCAAUAAUUUUUUUGUAGAGACUCUCCUCUAAAAAAAUUUCUUUCUACAAAUUUACUCUAAAGAAUUUUUUGAUUUUUUAUUAAUUUUAUUUUCUCUACAAACUCUCUCUAAAGAAUUUUUUUCUCUCAAAUUUUCUUUCCUCACGAAAUUUUCUUUAAAGAAUUUUUUUCUCUAACAUACUUUUUUCUAAAGAAUUUUUCUUUUAAGAAAUUUUCUCUCUUUUUCAGAUGACAAAGAUCCUAUUUAUAGGUCCGGGGUGUACCAUAAAUUAAAAAAAAUAUUAAAAAAUAAAAUUAAAAUUGGAUAUUGUGAAUUAAUUAAUUUUUUUCCUUAAAUAAUAGAAAUGAGAUACUAUGAGAUUUCGUAAAAAAAUAAAAUGAUUUCUUUUUCCUAAAAUAAAUAUAAAUAAGUUAAAAAAUAUUUUAUUUAAGACAAAUUAAUUUUUUUUUCUAAAAUGAGGAUAAAUAAGUUUAAAAGAUUUAAUUAAUUAAUUUUUCCAUUAAAAUGAGUAGAAAUAAGUUUUAAAAAAAUAUUUUAUUUAAAAAUAAAUACUUUCUUUUUUUUCCUAAAAUAAGUGGAUAUGUUUAGAUGAAUAGAAAAAUGAUUAUAAAAAAAAUAUUUAGUCAUUAUCCAUAUUCCUUUUAAAAAGAAAAUAUUAAAAGAUGUAGGAUAAAAUUAGGUGGCUACAAUUAUGAUAUGAGAGCCUAGUAUCCCGAGCUGUUCGAAGAUUAGAACUUUCAAAAACGAAAUUUUCUUAAAGGAAAGAUUUGUAACACUCCAAAAAUUAAGGUAAUUUUGAAUUUAAUUAUGUUGGAACUAUUAGAUUUGAAUUUGCAAUAUUUGAUCUAGAAUCGAUAGUUUUAUGAAAUUAUAAUUAAUUAAAUAUUUUUUGGUUGAAUAUUUAAUUAAUUAGUAGAAUUGGAUUUUUGGUGUUGUUGAGAUUGAAUUUAAUUAAAUAACUGGAGUGUUUGUUUAAUUAAAUUGAAGAGUGAAAAUUUUGUUAGAUAUUUAAUAAUUAUAUGUAUACUCGGUUAUAUAUAUAAUUAUUAUGGAAAUUAGUAAAUAUAAUUUUAUCUAUGAAAAAUUAAUUAUUGUGGAAGAUAAUUAAUUAUUUUGGGAAAGAUAAAUAUUGAUUAAGAGAAGUUGAUAUGAUUGGGUAAAUAAGAAAAGAGAAGGAAUAUAAUUUAUUUAAAAGGAAGAUUGAUAAUUAUAUAUUGGAAUAUAGUUAUUAAAAAAAGAAAUGUAACAUCUCAAAUCAUUGAGUUUUUAUUAAUUAUUUAUUAAUUAUCUUAAGUUAUUUGGGAAUUAUCUUAAAGGUAAUUGUAAUAGAUAUCUAUUUGAGAAAUAAUAAUUAAGGAUAUAACAACAUUUAAAAAAAUUGCAAAUAUAGCAAAACUAUCGUUGAUAGACUUGUAUCGCUGAUAGACUCAUUAUGGUCUAUCAGUGAUAGACCAAUAUUUACAACAUGAUCUAUCGGUGAUAGACUUAUAUCAUUGAUAGAAGUCGACAAAUUUUGCUAUAUUUGUAAAUUUUUUAAAAUGUUGCUAUAUACUUAACUAUUUUGAAUCUAAUUGCUAAAUUUACAACUAUCCAUUAUCUUAAGGUUUGGAGUUGCAAUAGAAUUAUUAAUUAAGAUAAUUCACUACUACAAAACUGGCAAUAGUUGACACUUAAAAACUUUCAUGUAUCUCUUUCCUUGACGCUUUUCAAUGUGUCAAGUAAUCCAGUGUCAAGAAUAAGUGAGAUUUACUUGAUAGCUUUUAUGCGUCAAGUACAAUUAUACUUGACAGGUAAAAAAUGUCAAGUAUAUAAGAUUAUUUGAAGCUUUUUACGCGUCAAGUAAUCCAGUGUCAAGAAUAAGAAAGUUUUUUGUUUGAUAAUUUUUAUGCGUCAAGUAAAUAUAUACUUGACAGUUUAUACACGUAAAGAAUUGGUUUAUUUUUGACACAUUUUACCACUGAUUCACCAAUUUUAAUUAAGAUUGAUGAUUUAGGUGAGUGUUUUUGGAUAUUUUUAUUGUGGAAUUUUAAUACUCAUCAAAAGGUUAAUUAAUUGAGGCUCUAAAUUAAGUUAUUAUUAGAAUUGAUUUUCUUGAAAAUUUAAAUGAUCAAUUUUUUCAUCAAGGUUAAAUUGAUUUGAACCUCAAUUUUUUAAAAUUGAUUUAGUUGAAUAAUUUUUACUGUCAGCUAGAGAGUAUUUUGUUUGGCUAAUCUCUACUACUGGACAUUCGAAUUAAAUUUUAAGAGUUUGCAUGCAUUUUCUUUUACGCAUUGAUGUAGCUAAGAUGCAUAAUGCAUUGAAGUUGAUGAAUGAUAUUGAUGAUUGAUAUAUUAUGACACAUGAUACAUUAAUCACAUGAUAAGGGCGUUAUUGGUGUGUCUGUUAACUUUGUCAUGUCUGUUGAGGUUUUACCGCACCUAUAUUGUGAUUCUUUCACUACAAGAAAAUAUGUUUAUUUCCAACCCACACUACGGACGUCGAGAUAAAAGACGUCGGAAGAAAAAGCUUCUCUCGACGUCGUAGAAGCUCCGUUGGCAAAGGUUGGCAAUCCUGACGUGACACAAGAUGACGUCGGUAUAAGAUAAUGUAAUAAAAAAAAAUUUAAACUUUUUCUAACGUCCUAAACCCUAAACUUUUUCCAACGCUACAAAAGGCGAUAGUGUCGGGAAAAGUUUAACUUUUUUAAAAUAGUUUAAAUUUUUUACAAUGCCAUUGUACAUGACGUCGAAAAAGGUGUAAUUUAUUUUUUAAUCUUAAUUUUUUUCCGAUGCCAUUAUACAUGGCAUCCAGAAAUGUUUAAUUUCCCUUUUGCUUUCUUUCUAUUCUCUCGAAUAUCUGUCACUGCAUUGGCAUUGUUGAAGAUUGAUGCUGCUCUUGAAAUGGAAGAAACUUAAAAGAAAUUGGGGAAACAAAUUCGGCAGGAAUAAAGAAUGAAGAAAUGAAAAAUGAACUUUACCUUUACGUUUUUGUGAAGAGAGAAAAUGACCGCCAACAGUGUUCAUCAUAUAAUAAAUUCUGCCUGAAUAAGUGUAAAAGGUAAAUAAAUAAAAUCUUUUGUAUUUUAAUAAAGAUUUUAUCGGUUGUGAGAAAAUGUUUUAGGAGACUACAAUUUCCAAAUAUAAAUUAAGAUAUUAAUGAGAAAGUUUGGUUUGAUUAAUGAUGUUUUAUGAUUUAUCAUAAACGUUUAAUCUUUUGGUGAGUUUUCUUUUGAAGGAACCCUUAGAUGUUUGUACCAAAGGUGAUUUUCUGUGUGUUACGUGAAUGUGUUUCCACGUAUAUGAUAGAUAUUUGAUCUUCUAUGCAGCUUAAGAGUUCUCAAAGUGUAGUAUGAUAGAGAUUGCUUUGUUAUGUACCUGGGGAUUACUCGAUAUAUAGUAUGGGAGAGAUUUGUUCUACUAGCCAUUGAAGUUUUCCAUUAUACUUAGCAAUUGAAGUUUUCCAACAAGUGAUCUAUUGGAGGUUUGCAUAUUUAAAAACAUUAAUAUUAUUUUGGCUUAUAAAUAAAGUACUUGGCUUGGCUAGUCCUACUUUUUAAUUAUUUGGGAAAACAAAAAACUUCCAUGUUUCCCUUUACUAAGUCUUUAUUAAAUUGUUUCAUGUAUUGUGAUUUUAAUUAUAUAGAUAAUGAUAAAGACACCUGAUUUAAUUUUGAAGGUAAAUGUUGCAUCCCAAUAGUUUUGUUAAAUAUUUUGGUUGCCUUAUUUUAUUAAAGGUAAAAUUGGAGCAUAAAUUUAGUUAAUAUUUUUAGAUUUGGUUGUUAUGAUAGAUUAAUAUUUAUUAGUAAAUACAUGAUUAAUUAAUAUUUAUUAAUAAAUAUAUACAAUUGGCUGUAGUGGUUGGUACAUUCUCUGAAGUUGGUGAAUAUUUAUUAAUAAAUAUACGAAGUUGGCUUUAGGUUGUUUGGACUAAAAAUACAGCUUGUGGGCUUUGUGGGUUGCGUGAUAUAUUUAUGUUAGUGGAAGUGUGAAUUUAUGUUUGUGGAAGUGUGAGUGUACAUGCAACAAUUUAUGUAUCAUUCAGAAAGUCUUUUAUGAAGUACUCAGUCUAUGCGGUGUGUGAUGUUGAACAUCCUGUUACCGUCAUUGUAAAAUACUUGUUUGAGAAGAUAUGUGCAAGUUAGGGGAGCCUAACAUUGAAGAUUAUUUCAAGGAGUCUCUCACAGAGAGAGCUUGAAUAUUGAGACGCAAGGGUGAAACAUGAAGAGUAUGAUCUAGGAUCGAAUUUCUUGUUCACAAAUCAAGUAGUUUAGGGAGGGCCUAAACGUUUAUCUUGUGAAAGUCAUAUAAUUCAAGAUAGUUGAUUCUUGGUAAGUGAUGUACUUGUGAUCAUUUUCAAUCUUUAUAAAGGUUCUCCCAAAUGUAUAGUGUGAUUACACCGAACUGGGUUACCAAUGUGCUGGUGUUCUAUUCUAUCUUUUCUUAAUGUUACCUAUGUUGUUCCUUUAGUUAGUAGCUUGAGCAUUAACUUAAGCCGUCAAGUAAUUAAUUGUGACUUAUUUUUUCAAGUUUUAUAAAAUUUGAUUUAGUAAGGUUUAUUUCAAACGGUGUAUAAUUACAACGAAAAGUUUUGCUAUUCACUUGGUUUAUAAAAUGUCUUCAAGAGUUUGACUAUGAUUUUGAUUGUUUAAGUGAAAUAUGCUAUUGUCACAUGUCAUGUUCUAGGUUUAGUAUAACAACUUGGGGUUGGGUGUGACAUUUCACCACCAUGAUAGACAUUUUUGAGAACCUCACGUUAAAAAAAAUUAAAGAAUCUUCAUACUUCUUAUCGAUAAAUGUGCUACUUUCUCUCCUUGCCAAUUAAUUUUAAGUUAGAAUGACACAUGUCAUGAUGUACUAAUUAAAUACUUACAAGAAAUUGUUAUCAAAUUGAUAUCAUCUAUACAUGAGUGAGUUGAGGGAAAUCGUAAACCAAUUUAAUUAAUAACACCCAAUAUAAAAGAAUAAUUGGCAAAAAGAUGUUCUACCAUUUUUUUUAAUCACGAGAAUUCAUUUUAAAAACUGAUAGGGUAUACAUGUUGUAUCAAAAUAAUAAUAAUAAUAAUAACAACAAAGAGAGAUAUUGAUGCGAAACAUAAAAACUAAUCAGAACUAAAUUACACAUUAUUAAUUAUAGACAACAUACUUUUAUUGAUAAUCGCAUGUAAACACGUAAAACAGCAACUUUAGUUUUAUUUCAUAGCAUUACCAAACAUGAAAAUAAAAAGAUGAACUAGACAUGUAAUAUAGUUUAGUGGUUAAGAUGGAUAUGUAUAUGCACCUUCAACUUCAAGGUCAAAGGUCUUUCAAUCCCCACCUCUCGACUUUAUUGUAAACAUAGGUGCAUAAGAUAGAAAAUAAAGUGUUACAACUUCUUAUUUGUUUUUUCAUAUGUUGAAGUUGUAGAGUAAAUUAGUCACGAUCGAGGGCAUACAUUAUAUGGAUAACCAAGCUUUCGGCCGCAACCGUUAACAAUUAGAUUGAGAUCAAUGGGAAUGCGUAAAAGGAUGAGGCCUCCAAUUUUCAAUUUAAGGGCAGUGCAAAGACAAACCCUAGCUUCAAGAUCCACUAGCCCUUCAAUCAAGCUACAACAUUGAGGGUAGCUUUGGUUUGGUUGGCUGUUAAGAACUAGGUUAACAAGGUUUAACACAUUUGCACAUGCCUCUAUGUUCAGGGUAUUUCUAGGGCAAGUGACCCCAUUGUUGGUAGGUGGGGGUGGGGUUAGGCUUGGUGGGGGUGGGGUUAGGCUUGGUGGGGGUGGGGUUAUGGUUGAUGGGGGUGGGGUAAGGCUUGGUGGGUGUACAGGCUGGUAAGAAGUGACAAGAGAAAAGAAGAGAAGGUUUAGAAGAAAGAAGAUAGCUAGUGGAGAGGUUUUGUUGAAGGAAUACAUUAUUUUUUAAUGAAGUAAAGAGUUUCUUCAAACAAGGAUGGAGAAAAAAGUGUAGCGAUGGAAGGGUUUUUAUAUUGUUAAUUGUGCCAUAGAUAAGAUGAUGAGUUGUAAUUUAAUUAAUACCAACUUCAAUGCUCAUCUUAAAAUUCAACUACGAUCAAAAUGUUGGAUGUAUUAUUCAACUUUGUUUGAUACGUCUCUCUAUAAUACUACCAAUUUUGUUGUUUAAUGUACUAUCUCUUCCAAUUUUCUUUUAUUUUAUCUAGUUGAAAUAUUAUGGUGCACUUACUAAUUCACAGUGUAUUUUUGUCUAAAUAUUUGUAUAUAAUUAGUCUUUUGUUUUUUUUGUGUUGUGUGAUAUAUUUACAUGUUGUUUUGGCUUUAUUUGAUUACGCUUUCAUUUUCUAAAUUUAUGUACGUUCCUUCUCAAUUUUGUUCCGCUGAGUGUUCAACUUUUUCAAAAUAAUGUUUUAAUUAUUGCUAAAAUGGUUUUCGAAUCUUCAUUUGAUUUUUGAAAUAUUGGUAGCAAUUAAGCAAAUAAGGAUGUAUAGUGGAAACUUACAAGUGUACAUAAGCUGAGUUUUAAAAAAUAAUUAAAUAGUUAUUCAAUAGAGUUAAUGAGAUAGUACGGAUUUCUUAAAAAUUAAAAUUGUUAAUUAUUAGACUAAACAAGAAGAAAAAAUAUUAACUACGCUUUCUAAUAAAAUUUAUGUAAGAAAAAAUGGUUGGCUUUCUUUGACUACGCUUGUGUGUUUUGAAUUUACGCUUUCUAAUAAAAUUUAUGGAUGUUUCCUCUCAAAUUUCUUUCUUUGGUUUUCACAUUGGCUUUUCUCAAAAAGCAUUUGAAUAUUGUGGAUCAAAUUUUUUUAAAAUUUAAUAUAUCUAAUGAGUCUUUUACCAAAUAUAACGAAUCAGUCAAAUAUUUUGAAAAUUUUAAUUAUAUGGCAAAAAAAAUUUAGAAAAAGUAGUUCAUACCACGUCUUUUUUGCAUAUUGCAAAUAUGACAAAUAUGAUAACUAAUUAAAUAUAUCAAAGGGCAUGACUAUCAUAGGGCUAUCCACUUUUAAAUUUGUUACUUUUGCAAUUUUGAAGAUGUAGUGACAUGAAUCCUUUUAUCAUAAUUUUUUUUGCUAUUUUUGUAAACACCCCAAAUAUUUAUACUAUAUAGAACAAUUUUGACAACGUAAAAGGUCCACAAGCUCACAAUGAAAAAUACCAAAAAUACCCUGCGAUUAAUUGACACCCAACCGACGUAAUAUAUUUUUGGUAAACGAUCAUUUAGAUUUGACUAUUCUUUUUUACAGAAUUGUUUCGAUCUUUUUUCAAGAUUCUUUGCACACAAUCGUUUAGAUUUGGUUAGUUUUGCUACACGGUCGUUUAUAUUUAAUCGUUUAAAUUUGGGUAGUCAUAUCUAAACUAUUUUUUAAAAAAAAAUUUUGUACACGAUCGUUUCUAUUUGGUAUACGAUCAUUUGGAUUAAUUUUUUAAAUUUGGGUAGUCAAAUUUCAAUAAUUUUUUUUCAUGAAAUUUUGGUACACAAUCGUUUAGAUUUGGUAGACGAUCGUUUCAAUUUGGCUAUUUUUUCUUACACGUUUAAAUUUGGCUAUCCACUUAUAAACAACUUUUUUAGAAUUCUUUGGUACACGAUCGUUUAGAUUUUGCUAUCUAAUAUUCCAACGACUUUUUUUCACAAUAUCUAGAAUCAAAUAACAGUUUGGAAAAAAAAUAAAACAAAACUUACGAAAGAAAAGAAAAAUAUGAUAGAAAGGAAAAUAAAAAUUAUGUUGAAAAAAAAGGAUGACAAGGAAGGGUAUAAAUAUUUAAAAAAAAAUCCAUAAGAAAAGAGAAGAUGAUGAAAAAAAAAUUACAUAGAGGAAAAGAAGAAAUAGCAAACGUGGAAUAUUUUUAAAAAAUGACAAGCUUCGUGGAUUUUUUCAUUUUGUUAUAUAGAUCGUAAAUAUUUUGUUGGUUUGUUAUAUUUAUGAAAAUUAACCUGUAUUUAAAUAUCUUAAUUUGAUUUAUAAAACAUUAGUAGAAAACAUAUAAUACAAAAUAAUAGAGAUAGUAAGAUUGUAUGAAUUUUUUAACAGGCUCGUUGUAAAAUGAACAAAAUAAAUUCUAAAUAUAUUAAGUAAUUAUAAUAGAUAAUUAUUUUAGGAUUAAUAAUUAAGGAUGUAGUAUCAUUCUUUAGAAAAAUGUAAAUAUAACAAAGUUUAUCGGUGAUAAACUUUGACAAAUUUUGCUAUAUCUGUAAUUUUUUUAAAUGUUGCUUGAUGUAUGAACAGGUUUCGUCGUUCAAACUCAUGCCAAAUAAUAAAUCUAAUCACACACCAAGAACUACUCUUAGUGGCAAAGUUCGAGUCGAACUUAGAGAGCAUAUUGACUUCUCAAACAAAUUAGUUCUCACCCUGUGACCGAGGGAGGGUUUAAGUAGAAAUUGAUGCAAGACAGUAAAUUGCAUAAAACGAAGGUGAAACUUGAUAAAAUCCAAUGACUAAAGAAUCUAGCUUCGGUUAUUACAACUUCAACCUAAUUAUCUAAAUAAUUUAUUAUAUGUAAUCUUCACUUAACCAAUUUAAUUAAUUGGAAAAAAGGCUAGUUAAUUUGUCCUAAGGUUUUAAUUGUUCUAACCCAAUGUGAUUCAACAUGCAAUACUGAAUUUUCCAAAGAGCAUUAAGUUUCUUUAGACAGAGUGUCUAAUUUUCCAAGGUCUAAUUAACAUUAAAUAAUAGGUUCAAAUUCUAGUUUGGUUAGAAGCACUAUGCAUCAAAAUAGAUAUUUACAUGCUAACCUAACCUAACCUAUUGCUUCUAACCAAUUCUUAUCUAAUUGCCAUGAGUAAAAGAAAUUAGUGCAAAUAUAAUUUACACAUUUCUCACCAUUCAACAUGCAACAAAAUAUCAAUUAAAUUCCGAAUUGAACCAAGGAUUAUAAUAGAAACUAAGUUUCAGUUCUCAUGAAUUCUAUAGGACAAAGGGAGAAUCUAAGAACCCUAAGCUAGAGACGAGUACCUUAGCCUCUCAUCUAAAUGCCGGAUGAUGAGAAGAAGUUUGGGAACCAAAAGUACACGAAAGAAAGUAGAAAAUAGGGAGAAAAUUAAAAGGGUGGAGGUUGGCUAGAAAGUAAAUUAGGUUUCAAGUGGCGGUGGAACUUCUUUAACUCUUUUAUAAUAAACAUCUAGGUGCUGCGGCGCUCAAGUCUUCGCACACGUCGUUUCACAUUUUAUCUUCAGAGCACCGUGGUGUAGAGAUAUGUUCACAAAAUCUCCCACAUUCUGCCUUAUUGCAGCGCCACCUUAGGCGUUGUGGGGCACCAUGGGCCUACAAGGAAGAAUCCAAAUGGCUUCUUUUGCUUCAUCUUUCUCCUCAUAUUGCAAAACGGUUUGUCUUGAUUCACAUCGUUUAACUUCGUAUUGGUCCAAAUUAGCUCCAAAAUAACAUUAACUUCAAAUUACACCUAUGAAUUGCUCAAAACCUAUACCACAGUCAAAUAAGAUUGUAAAAUCAUGGAACGAGCUCAAAUUAAACGAAAAUAAUGGAUAAAUAUUUCAUACGCUAUCAUUGCUAUAUAUACUAAUAUUUUGAAUCUAAUUGCUAUAUUCACGAUUAUUCUUAUAUAUUAGGUUCGUAAUAAAAACUUUUUAGUUUUGCGAAAAUAGCAAAAGACCAAGCUCAACCCGCAGUUGAAAACAUCAAAUGUAAAAAUGUAUAGUUAUACGUGAUACAAAUUUGAUAUACACUUGAUAUAUUUAAUACACCUGUGCAUUUGAUACUAAUAUAGUUUGAUGCACUUAAUAUACUUGAUACUUCUUAAAGGUUCAAACUGCAAGACACUUUCCAAUAUAUGAUUAUUGUUAGAUUCACGAUACACUUGAAAUGUUAAUUUUUUUAUCUGUAGAAAAUUUGAUAUAUUUUUUUUAUUGAUGUAUUAUAAAUUACCAUCAGUGUACUAUAAUCUUUUAUAUACUAAAAAUAUGGAUAGGUUAGAAAAUUAAAGAAGAAAAAAAAUAUUGAAAACUAAAAUUUGCUUAAGAAAAAAGAGAUGUGUUGAAAUAUAAAAUAAAAUAAAAAACAACUAUUGGAAGUUUUAUCUAUAUAUACAAAUAUAUAGAACAAAAGGGAAAAGGUGGUUCAAAUUAAUGAAACAAAAUUAAAAAGAUGCUUUUUCCAUAUAAACAAGAAUGCAACAAAUUGAAAUUUUAAAAAUAGUUUAUUAUUAUUUUUUUAAAAAAAGAUACCAUGGGAAGAUAAGCCCAUAACAAGGUACCCAAAGAGUUAUACAGAAGCAUGGAUAUUUAAAUGAAUCGAACUGACAUUAUAGUUAACGAAGAGCUUGAAUCUAAUAAACAAAUGUCAUGUUGAGAGCUUGAACAUCAUAUAGUCCAUUUUUCUGUGAUUUCUCUCCAGCCACAAUGACCAUAGAGUCACAGCAACAACGUUAAAAGCGAUAGUUCCUUUUCUGUCAUUAUUCUGAUUGUUAGAAAAAAUCUCUUUAUAGAGGGAUUUAACGUUGUCAUGAGUAUUGUACCAAUGUAACAGAUUUCUCCAUAGUUCUUGGGUGGUUUUGCUAGAAAUGAAAAUGUAAUCCAUGGUCUCCUAGUUGUUUUUACAGGGAGAGCACCAUUUGGGUUGAGGUACCAAUUUGGAAGCGUCUUUAUAACUUUGAUGCACCAAUUUGGGUUUAGGUACCAAUGUGGGUUGGGUCCAUGGUCUCCAAAAUUAGUUUAUUAUUAGAAUACAAAAGGACAAAAAUUAUAACUAACAUGUUUCAUAUGGCAUAUAUAUGUUUGUCUUUUAGGCUUUUGUUGGUAGAUGCAACUAGAUAAAUUAAACUAAUUAUUAACCAAAUCUUUUAAGUCUUUAGACAAUUAAUUGCCACUAAAUGAGGAUUUUUUUGAGUGGUUGGAUUACGUAAGUACUUUAAUUAAAUCCAUUAAUAACUCUUUUACAAGUCAAAUGUUUGAAUAGUAAUCCAAUAUUAAAUUCAUAAUUUUCUAAAAAUGAACAUUCUUAAUCGAGUUGAUAAACACUUUUUUAAUCAAUAAAAUAUAUAGUUGGACAAUAUACAUGCAUCUAAAUCAGAGAGAAUACGAAAAAAAAACAAAAGUUUAACGAUAAUUCAUAUGAAAGGAAAUAAAAGUAGCUACUAACAAUGACCAUGGUAAUUUAUCUUAUAUAUCGAACCUACUUUUCUUUUUAAAAAACUACAAGUGUUACUUAUGCAUGCUAAAAUUCUAUGGCACCACAAUGAUUUCAAUUAUGCACCUAUGUGUCACACAAACACAUAAUGUGAUCAUCAAAACAUGCAUGAUCAGGAUAAAGUAAAAUCGCAUGUGUACACCAAUAAAAUGUUUCUUAUCGCACCACAACGAUUUUAAACACGAUACAAAUAUGAACAAAGCAAAAUUAGUGGAACAUGCAUGCAUGCAUGUCUAUCAAAAUUGAUUGACCAAAAGUUUUCAAGACUUUCGAUCAAACCAAAUUAAUUGUUCCGUUUCUCACAAAUCUCAUAGUGAUGGGUCGAUCCGCAUAGAACCAACUAAUUUUUGUUUAAGAACUACUUGUUGCAAGGUAACCAACAGAGGGAGGGUGUGGAUUGCUGAAUGGGAACAAAUGAAGACUAAAUCAAAGGACAAUGCAAGAACACAAAUCUAAUGAUGGUGGUGAUGAUACUAACCAAAUGAAACAAAACACGUAGCUAGCUUGAGAUUUAUUUCGAUUUACUUUUAAUUAACUCUCAAUCAUUGAUUUGGCAUUCAUAUUGUACCCUUAGCAAACAAUAAACAAUUUCUUAGCUAACCACGUCCAGAGAAACUAGAGUAGUGUCCUAAGAUUCAAAUCAAUUUUUAUGUUUAGAUGAAGAAUCCUAAACAUGCAAACCAAUAAGCAUUAACGUUUGAGGCUAAAAACUAAGUAGAUCAAACACAUUUUGAAAUUGCCUAAUUGAAUGCUCAUAUGAAUUCAAUCCUAAGUUAAUUAGACAAAUGUCAUUAGAUUGGAAUAGUCUAAUUGAUGAACAGUUCUAACUUAACUUUUGAUAUCACAUGAUCUUCGACAAUUACGGAUUAAAUUAAACCUUUAACAAUUUAUUAAAUACACAUAGCUAAUUUCAGUAUUCCCAAAAUACCAUUCAAUCUCAAAACAAAAUCAAGGAAAUGAAUUCAAUUAUUCAAAUAGUUUCCAAAAGACAAAUAUUCAAAAGCUCAAGAAUGUAAAUCAAAAGGUGAAACUAAAAGCUCGAGCUAGAUAUAAUUAGUACAUUAACCUAGAUACAUCGUCAAAAAACAUGAAAAAUAAUCAAAAGAGUUCAAAUCAAGGGAACAAAAUAAUGUGUUUUUUUCUCUAAAGUGUCUCUAAGUUUGUGUCUCCAGGUGUGUGGAAUAAGGGUUGGCAACUAGGAUAAUAACCCAGAAAAAUAUAACGGUGUCACAAUGCGCAUAUAAUCUUCCUCUCAAGUUUGGAGCGCCAUGGCGCCCAAGGACAGUGCCACGUGCACGAAAAGAGGCCUUUUUGUCUUUCAACGCUGUGCCAAUGCCCAAAAUUAGGGCUCUUAGCCUUUUAGUGUUGAGACUAAAAUUUUCGAACAACAAAUCAUUGUGAAUUGGUUAACGCUCUAAAUCUUCAAUAACGACUCUCAUUUAGUUCUGAACUAAACAUUAAGGUCAAGAAUUAUCUGAAUUGAUCUCAACACCUACAAAGCCACAUCAUGCGAAAGUAAAAUUAUGAAAUGAUCUUGAUAUUAGUAGAAUAGAAAAGAUAGCUUAUUUUGAAAGCUAUCACAAAUAUAUCAGUAAUCGAUAAUAUCAAAUAACAUUUUUUCAUAACCACCAAGUCUUAAAGCCUUUUAUCGAAGGAGCCACUUAGCUCAAAUGGAAGUUCGAUAAACAACCCAUAUAUAAUUAUCAACGCAAACUCUUGCUUGGGACACACUAUAACAAUUUUGCACACUAAAUGAUCCCUAGACCAACUAUUAAUCUUGAACCCAAAAGAAAAAGAAAUCCAACUUAGUCCAAAUAAUUAACUGCAAAUUUUUACAAAUUAAAUAUGCCUAGCAAAUUAACUAUUAAAAUUGAAUAGAUAACAAAAGAAGCCACCUGUAACACUUUCUUUUUUUUCAUAUUACAAAUAUGAUAAGUAAUUAGAUAUAUCAAAUGACUAUUCUCUUUUAAAUUUGUUUUUUUAGCAAUUUAGAAAAUGUAUUGACAUUUUAAGUUAAUUAAUAGAAAAUUAAACAAUAGAAUAAACGGAACAUUAUUAAUGAAGCUCACUAAUAGAAGUGUAUAAAUUUUGAAAUGAUUGGAGGCUAAAUCAUGUAAACUCAAAAUCUAUGAACAAAAGAGUACCUUUCUUCGUUUAAUCUACGUUGUAAAAUAUUGCUAACAAUGAGAGAACUUAAAAACUUUUUUGACUUGUUUUUGUUAAGGAUGUACACAUUUCUUAACAAGUUAAAUUUAUCAUCAAAUGGAUUCAAAUAUACUUGUAACUUGUGAUACCAACCAUUGUUUUAUGUAAAACUAAUAAAACAAUUACUAAGCAAGGAAAGUUGAAAUAAUGAGUUGUUUCGCCAUUAAUUGUUGAUUUCGUAAAGUAAGUAUUAAUAUCAUAUUAAAUGAAAGGUUCAAUCAGUCAACACAUAUGAAAAUUGUGGAAUGGCCUUUGCCUACGAUAAUAUGGAUUCGGGACUUGAUGGCAACAACCAUUCUCUGGCAUCUUUGCAACCAUGUAUGUCAUGCUAUAUCUACUUGUCUUAAACUACUUACAAAUAUAAGAUUAUUGCCACAGACUAAUUAGCAUUGAAUCCUUUCAAUGUACUCAGUCUUUCGAUUGAUGCUUCUUCUUCGAAGUAUAUUAGUGGAAUUUUUUACAUGAUUUGUGUUCUCACUUUACAUGUUUUCUUAGAAGAUUCUCAAAACAUCAUAAAAUUACUCUAUGUCAAGCACACUUAAUUUUAGAAUUCUUAUGAUUUAGUGGUUAAAAAAGAAUGCACACUUUGUUUGUAUAAGUAGUACUACCAAUCAACUCUUUUUAAGCUUCUCUUGAACAAGCUUUCAUGUUCUUCCUAUCUCUUAUGUAGAUGUAAAUUUGGAUCAUUCAUAUAUUUAAUUUCCGAUAAACUAAGGACAUUACAAAAAUUAAACAAUAGCACUUCAUCGAUCAUCCAAAAUCGUAAACUUGGGCAAUUGGCAUAUUUAGGCCCUUUCAAGUUUUGAUUUGGAAAAUAGACCUAGUUAGAAAAGAAAAAAACUUGGGUACGUGCAUCCUCCCAUCUCUCUCGACCAUAUAAAAUUAAAUUAUCUAAUACUUUUUAGAAAUAUUUUAUUUUUGUAUGAUGAAGACAUAUAAAAAAGCACUUGAGAUAGAUACAUCUUCACUUUAUUUUUACCCUUCUUUUCUCAUUAAGUACAUAAAAAGGCUAUUCUACCGUAUACUUUAUUAUUGUCAAACCUUCAAAAACUUUUUUCUCGUUCUUCUUUUUUCCAACCUAUCACGUCCUUUUCAAUUUUUUUUUUUCAACUUUUCCAUUUUUAUCUAUCAAGUUUCAUCAAAUUUAAUUUUGAUUGCCUUCGACGAAUUUGACAUAUUUGGGGCUGGGAAGAGGAAGAGAGGGUGGAUCAAAGUGGAGUUGGAGUGAAUAUUUGACAAUUUUAUUGAUGAUAUUUUUUAUGUUUUUUAUUGUAACUCAACAACAAGAAGAAUUAAUAUUUCAACAUUUAGCCUUUUGGUUGAAAGUAUUUUUGUUAUCAAGUUUGUUAUAAUAUUGUUGUUUGUAUGCUUAACUGAUAUUAUAUCUUAUAGUAUAUCAUGUCUGUUUGAGUCUCCGAAUAAAAUGGUCUAUUAUCACUCAUAUAUAAUUCUAAAUAUUUCUAUUAGGGUAGAAUAAUCGGCUAAUUUGAUCCAAAUUAUUUAACAAAGAUGAAAUCCAAUAUUAAAUUUAGUUGACUGAAAUUAACCUCUUAUGAAAAUGCAUUAACAAAGGUGGCUACAAGACAGAAAAUGAUCAGUUUAUCACUAUAUCCAAACUUUAAACAAAUAUUAAAAUAAUUAAAUUAAUGAUAAUACUUUUAUCAAUAUCUAUCCUUAAUUUAAUAAGUUCUAAUGAUAGAUCGUCAAAAUCAACCAUUUCACGGCUCUCAUGUUUUUGUAUCUUUAAUAGGUUUUUUUUUUGUUUGAUAUUUUCUCUAGGAAAAAACUGACAUAUAAUAUUUGUUUAUAGUUGUUAGGAUAUUUUAUCAAAUAAAUUAUUCUUUUUAGGAAGCAAUAAUAUUUUACCAAUCCUUCCUAAUAUCUAGGAGUCGUGGUGUAAGUUUGUUUCCUUUUUAUAUGGAAAAGGUUAUCUGCAUAAAAGAUAUGAGGAGAUUUUAUAUAUGUGAUCUAUGAUGCAUAUGUGAUUUGACGAAGAAAUUAACAAUUCGGGUCAAGGUGAACGUUUAAUGGCUAUAUUGUAUUUAGCUUGAUAUUGAAGACUUCUUGUUGUGAUGUGAACUUUGAGAAGAUAAGAAAUAUACUCGAAGAGCAAUGAAUUGAGGGAUCAAUUCACAAAGUCAGGGAGAACCUGGACUAGUCUUAGAGGAGAUUUUGAUUAUCUUGAGGAGAGCCUGUGUUUAUAUUUUAGUUGUGAUUAUAACUACUUUAUGUAACUAGUGAAAUAAGUUUGAUGAGUCUCAAUAAUAUUUCUGAUGUGAGCAAACAAGCUCCUCAAAUGUAGGUUGUAUUUGCCGAACUGGAUUACCAAAGUACAUUGUGUUAUUUAUCUUUAGUGUGCUCUGGCUAAUCUUGUAGUUCAAUACUUGUGAUAUAGCUCAAGAGUAUUUAACCUUCUCACUUUUCAAGGAGUGUUUCCUCGAGAAGCAUGCGAAUUUGAAGCCCAUAUUUUAUUAAAAGAAUGUAUUUAAUAUAAAAGAUAUUCUUUUAAUUAGAAGUUUAUCUCAAGAUAUUAUUUUAAAUAAUAUAGAUUUGUUGGUUCAAAAUUUUAUCUUUCCUUCUUUCAUGGAAUAUGACCGUAUCUUGAGUUUCUAUAUAUUUCCUUCUAGUUGGCAUCUUGGAGUGAACGAGUAAGUGAAAAUGAGUUUUUGAUAAAGGAAAUCUAUAAAACUAGAAAAAUAAUAAUAAUAAUAGAACCAUGUCACUCCAUUAUAUAAAUGGUAAAAGUAGCAAAUUUAAAGGCUUAUAGCCCUCUGAUAGUCAUUGGAUAUCAUUAAUUACUUGUCAUCAUUUUCGCAAUAUGUAAAAAAACAUGUGCUAUGAGUAGUUUUUUUCUAAAUUGUUUUGUCAUCAAAUGUAAUUUUCAUUUUGGUAAUAUGUGAAGGAUAAAUAGAGCAUCGACAAGUAAGCAAACCAGAUUGUCUGAAGUUAUCUUUCUUUGUUUUGUGAAGAAUGGCUGACUCGACAAGAAGAUCAAACUUUCCUAUGAUGAAGAAAUACUAAAUCUUAAUCAGAUGAUUGAUGAUAAACUUGAUUAGGGGAAGUCUUUACUGUCAAUACCUUAAUAUGCUGAUAUGAGAUAAAUGAUUAAGGGAGAGUUUUUACCCUAAGUUAUCUUUAAUAUUUAUUAGUGAUUAAUUUACUCCCAGGAAAGUUGUAUCAGUCGAAGUACAUAAUGAAUUUUAUAUGUUAAAUCUUUGUAAGUAUGAUCAUAUAGUUGUGAUUAUGAUUAAAAUCUCAAAGUAAUAAAACCUCAUAUCUCGAAUCAAGGACCCUAGAUGUAGAUGUUGUAUCAUCGAACUGGAUUAACAAUGUUAUUAUAUUUUUGUACAUUUUGAUGUGUCUUUCGUUAUUAAUUAGAGGUUCUUCUAAAAGUACAGUUGUUGACUUAUAUGCAAUGUUUUAUCAUAAUAUAAUCUAUCUAGGCUUUUCUAUAUGUAUUUCGUAUCAUAUCAAAUCGUUAUUUUAUCUCAUUUCCUAGUUGCCUCCUCAAACUGAUAGAUUCUGGAAAACAACCUGACUGUCCUUCCUCCUCAAAUUGAUAGAUAGCUAAUUCAUUGUUUUUUUUAUACAGAAGUUUUUGCUUCCAAAACCUCGAUUCCCCCAUAGGGCUUUUCCUGAGUAAACAAUGUAAGUCCACAAAAAUUCGUAAGGUACGUUAGUUCCACACAAGUUAUGUAGGAAGUUGUAUCCCAAUAAUGCAGUGUUGAACCAUAAGUUGGCAUGUGUUCUUGAAGGACAAUAAUGUUCUUCGACCCAAAGUAGAGUCUGUCUCAAAACUCUAACUAUUUUCUUGAUUAUUAACAUUUUUUUAUUGUUUAUUUGUUUUGUUAAGUUAUAGUGUUCCUACACGACUGACUUUCACAGUUUUAAUAUUGGCAUAAAAAUGAUUUGUAAGGAGUCAUAACUUCUUGUUUCUUCUUCGAGAAAGUGUCGUCUGAAAGCGUAUAAAUUAAAAAUAAUCAGCCUAAUUAUAAAAUGGGAGACAAAGGAAAGGAAAAUCUAACUUCAUAUAUCUAUGAUCUACCAAUUAUUCAAGUCUAUUUUAUUGAUAAAGUAAAUGAUAUAUAAGAUGCUGAUAGGCAAGGGUAAAGAGAAGAAUUACAAAAAAAAAAAAGGUAUUUUAAUAUAAUUAUAAACAAAUAAGAUGAAAAUUAAACACUACGUAAAUUUGGCCUCUAAUAUUAACUUUUCACUGACAUUAUAGAUGUACGAUGUCGGUCAAGCCUCAUAAGUAAUCUUAUGGUAAGAUCUAUUUGAGAAAUAGUUAAAUUUUAACUUCUAAAAUCAUGAACUAAAUAUUAAACUAAAAAUGACUUAUAAUUUAGGGAAAAUUGAUUUACUAAAUAUAUAUAUAAUUGAAGGACAAAAAAACAAAAAAAAUUAGAGUAAGUUUACCUUGUAGGGCAGUGUGCAAACGUACAUUCUUGAUGAAACAGCAAGCGAUUAUUAAAGAUAAAAACACUAACGUCUUCGACAGAAGAUUUAGAACUAUAUUAAAACUCAAUACACUAGCAGAUCUGAAGCAUCCACAGCUGGCGAACGAUUUUAGACAAUGCGGGCGGCUGGAAAGUCUAAUCGAUGGCAAAACACCAGGGACUAGACAUGGUGGCUAGACAACGCACGUAUGGGGGAGCGGCUAGAUCAACGAAACCUAGUAGUGUCAUCGGUAGGAUCCACUUGCUCAUUCACUGACAAAAUGCGGCGAUGAACCUAAUCGAAGCGUCCGAAUGAAUGACCAGAUGAACGGCGACCUCGUGGUGCGACUUCAGUAAAUUGGUGUGCGGUGUGGAUAAGCGAAGCGCUCAGCUGAGAGGAGGGAGAGAUAUUUGUGCAGACUAUUGGCAGACACAAACAAAGAGCCGACUGUAACAAUGUUUCCCUUUUAACCCUAAACCCUUAAAAACAUAUAUAUAUAAAAUAAGAUAAACUUUUUCUAUAAAAAAUGUGGGUCUUUAGUGUCGAUUUUGAACUGACAUUAUAGAUAUAUAUACAACGUUAGUCUAAAACCAACAUUAAUCUUCUGGGUGGUAAUUCAUCAUCCAUUAGAUUCUAGGACAAUAUUACUAAGAAGAUACACAAGAAGCUUUAUAACUGUAAAUAUUCUUUCAUUUCAAAAGGGGCAAGAUCACUCUUAUUAAUUCGAUUCUUGAUAGCCUUCCCAUAUAUCAGAUGUCUAUCUUUACAGCUCCUAAGGGAGUAUACAAAAAUAUUGAGAAAAAUUGGAGAGACUUCCAAAGCUAUGAAAAACUUGAUGGAAACAAAGAGUUAUGGGAUGAGUUUUCAAAAUAAUGACAUUUAGGACAAAUGAGCCGAAGAAACAUCUAUUUUGCCCUUUAGUGGAUAUAAAAAUUCUAGAUCCUCCACAGCUAUCUACGUAAAAACCCAUCUCGUCAGCAAUUCAGAUUCUUGUUGAUAACGAUUACCCCAACGAUCGUGAUAUCAGAGUAGUGUGUGUGUCAGCAACGAUACUUACCUAACCGACUAGUGAUGGUGAUUAGGUACCCAAACCAAUGAGAUUAGCAUGAGGUGGAUCUCAUCGGCGGCGAAACAUGGAGAAGAAGAUAGAUAAAAAGAAAAAAGAUUGAGAGUUACAAUUUGGUGUAUGGAUGUCACUGCCUUUGAAAAGUUAGUAGGGAAAGUAAAGAUGGAAGGUCUUUUUUUAAAUAAGAAAAGUUGAUUCCGUGUGUCUGCAACAUAAGAGACGAUAGAUACUUAAAUUUUUUCUUUUACAUUUUAUUGAUUGGAAUUUCUUAUAAAUUUGUUAGUACUUAAAUAAAUCUAAAAACCUGCUUAAGUAUGUUUAAAAUCAAUUUUAUAUGUGUUUUGCAAGAUGAAAAUUUGUAACUAAAAAUUUGUUAAAUAGGUUUAUAGUCACUCUAAACUAUAUUUAAAACAUCUCAAACAUGUAGAAAAUUUAUUGGUUAGAAAGUUUCACUUUUCGGGAUAGUGAGAUAUCAUUGUUCAAACAAUAAGAGAGUUACAUAUUGAAACUAAUAAGAUUUAUACUUCUUAUAAAAUAGAUGAACUACUCAUCUCAUUGUCAAUUGAUUUUAAGAUGGAACUCUCAUACUAGCUAAAAACUUUCGAUACAAAAUGUGUAGCUAAAAAUUUCUUAAAACAUGGAUAUAAUCAUCCUAAAUUAAAAAGAAAAUAAAAAGUGAUUUAGGUUUAUACGUUUAAGCCUAAGGGCAUAAAACAAUAAAAAAAAAAAUGAAAACAUCUUAUGAUAGUUAGUUAUAUGUAAUUUUUUGUAUAUUAACGACUGUCAUGAAAUGUCACGAAUUUAUAUAAUUUGACAUAUUUUGUUUGUCAAGAACAUGCCUAACCAAGUCUAUCAUUGAAUGUCAAUAAUAUGUCUAGCAUAACUAUAAUUGAAUGUCAAUAAUUUUUUUUAAAAAAAAAAAUCAAAUAUCAUAUACUUCUGUAUUACCACUUUUUUAUUUUUUUACAAUCAUAUGAAAAUACAUUAAUGGAAGUCAUUAUUUCUUGCAGCUCUACCAUUACACAAACCAGUUCAAUUAUAAAGUACUUAUCCAUAUGAAAACAAGUAACCAUUUUUGGUAAAGGAUUUACAAGAAUCUACAUGGACAUGUGGUAGACAGAUAGACAUAUAGGUGUGUGCAUAAACAUAAAAUAAAAUACUACAAACUUCUUGUUUUAUUCACUCAUCUUGAAGUUGUAUAGUCAAUGUUACAUUUUUUUUCCCGACAAAUAUGGAAUUAGUUUCUUUUUUUUUAAAGACAGAUAAAAGAUCUUUUAUAUUGAAAUAAAGAUAAAAUAUCUUCCAUAUUUAGGGCUCUUUUCUCUUUUUAUUUGAGAAAAAAAUAAAAGAUCUUCUUUUAUAUUUUAAAAAAAGAUAAAAGAUUUUCCUUAUCUUUAGGGAUCUUUUCUAAAUAUCUUUUAUCUUUUAUCUUUUAUCUUUUUAAAAAGAAUUGUUAUGUGCAAGUGAUCGUAGAUACACACCGAGUGCGAUUGUACAAGAACAUCUCUUAUCAUGCAAAUGACCCACAGAAACACCCCUUCUUGUGUGGGUGAUCGUAGGUACACACUCCAUAAACAUGUUCGUAAUACGAAGGUACACUCUUUAUUGUGUAAGUGGGUUCCGUCGAAACACCCUUUAUUGUGAGAGUGUCGCGUAUAUACAAUAAAACUAUCCCCUAACAAAUGAUAUGUGAUCUGUAGGCACACCCCUAAAUCGUGUGAGUGCCCCUUAGAUAGAAUCACCUUACAGGUGGGGUAAAAAGCUCAACAUACAAAGUUAACAGAUACACCAUAGUCCAAAAGUAUGUAAUAAUCAACACAUCAUGACAUAAAUCAUCAAUCAUAGCAGUCCAUAAAACAAAACAAUCCAUAAAGCAUGAAAUCCAUAAAUCAUGCUUAAUCAUCAUGUAACGUCAGUCAACAACUAUAACAUCUCAUUAUGCAUUUUCAGCUACUAUUAAUGCAUAAUCACAAAACACAUAUGCAACUCUUAAAAUUGAGUUCGAAGGUCUAGUAGUAGAAUCUCUUACAUGAGAGAUUAGUUAACAAAUAAUCUCUAGCUAACAGUAAAAAUUCUCCAAUUAAUUCAAUUCUUAGUUAUGCUAAGUUUGUUGCUACAAACGAAACCACAAUUACCGUAGCUUACCAAACUUACCUAAACGGAGGUUGAAAAAUUCUCUCAACCUUGAUAAAAAGAUUUAUCACUUAAUCUUUUGACAAAGGAACCUAAGUUACCAAACUUAACUAAAUGUGGUGGGAUGAGGGAGUGAGAGUUAUUUCAGUGAAAUGAUGAAAACUCUUUUCUUUUUCCUUUUCUUUUCAAUUAAUUAAGUAAUCCAAUAAUGUUAUUUAUAAACCAAAAUAAUAAUAAUAAUAAUAACCACAUAUAUAUAUAUAUAUAUAUAUAUAUAUAUAUAUAUAUAAUAACCAAAAUAUAUAAUAAAAUAUAUAAUAACCACAUAUAUUUAUUCAAACUCUUAUUCCAUAAUCUAACUAAAUCUAUCAUUUUUUUUCUAAUCAAACCAACCAUGUUUUUCCUUAUUAAUUAUCUUAUUUUCCAAUAAUUAUAAUUAUAUUUCACGAUAGAAUUAACUUUACUUUUUUAUAUUAAUUAUUUAUAUAAAAUCAAAUAAUUAAUAUCACAUUCCACCCAAAAAAAUUUCUUAAAUAAAUAUAUAUAUUCUUAAUUAAUUCCAAUUUGGAACCAACUUUUCUUUGAGAAGCUCAAAUUCUCAAUUCUUUUUAAUUAACUAAGUCUUCUCCAAUAAAUCACGUAUUUUAAAUUUUCAUGAAUUCCAACAUGAAAUAUGAAAUUCAAUAAUUCAAUUUACCUCGAGAUAACUUCCAAAUAAUUUGAGACAAUCCUCCCUAAAAUUUUGGGAUGCUACAUUUUUAUUUUUCCAAUAAUUAUAUUUCGAUAUAUAAUUAUCAAUUUUUUUUAAAAUAAAUUUUAUUCAUUAUCUUUCCUUAUUCAACCAAUCAUAUCAACAUCUCUUCUCAAUCAAUAUUUAUAAUUAAUUAUUUUUCAUAAUAAUUACUUUUAACAAAUAAAAUAAUCUUUGCACUUUUCCAUAAUAAUUAUUUAUAUAAGUAUAUACAUUUAACUAUAAUUCUACCGACACCCAAAUUCACUAGUUAAAUAAAUAUUCACUCAAAGGAAUAUUUAAUAAAUUCCAAUUUCAACUUAACCAAUUAAUUCUCUUUCCAAAUAACUCAAAAUAACACCCAAUAAACUCAAACAUAAUUAAACAAAAUUAAGAUAAUUAAAUUAAAAUUACCUAAAUUUAUGGGCGUUAGAGGGAGUUCUCUAGACGUAGAUGGAUUCAUCGAACUGGGUUAACAAUUAAAGUUAUUUGUGCUGUCUGUAUUAUUUAUCUUUUUUGUUCCUUUAGUUAUUCCUCUAGUUGUUAGUUAAAGUAGUAGCUACAAAAAAAUCAUACUAUCUUAUUUUUAACCGUCAAUUAGAUGAUAAACAUAAAUCAAGAAGAAUGAGCUUCAUUGCAUCUGUUAAGUAAUAUAUAUCGAGUGUAUGUGAUAUUAAAGGGUAUUGGGUUUGAGGGAGGGCUAAAACAUUUAGAUUAAGGCUUCAUUACAAGUGUUCACGUUUAGAGCGCCAUAACAAUACUCUAUGCGAUUUACACAAAAUUUGUGUUCUCUGCCUUGCAGCGUGCCUAGUUUAGCACAACUAUGCUCUAAUGGUAAUUUGGCCUUUUGAUCUUUUUGGAUUGAUGCAAUUAAACUUUGUAAUUUUUUACCGUUUUAGCUUCCAUUUGUCAAUAACACCCGGGUUCCACUCUUUGGGUGGUCAAAAGUUAUGAAAAUGAUCAAAUAAACAUGUAAAAUCGAGAAAUGAUCUCAAAUGAAGCAGAAAAUAAGAUAGGCAUUAGUGUUAGAAACUACCCCUUGUGGAUAGAACAAACUACUCCUAUUUGAAGGCUCACUACCUUUUAUCUCAAAUCUAUUGGUAAUAAAAUUACCUUGAAAAUCAGUUGUUAUGGGGUUGGACUAUGACUAAUAGAUAUAAUUAUUAGCCAUUUUGAUUCAUAAAGUUUGAAGAAACUUCAUGCUCCUGUUUUUAGUUUUUAAUCUUCUUCCCUAUUUAAUUUUCUUCUCAGUUCUCUCUAUACUUAAUUUUAUAUAUAGUUGAUUUAUGUUAUUCUAUAAAUUGAUAUUUUAAUUUAAAAAAGAUAAAUUGUAGAAAUGUAUAAGCUACGACUACUAAUCACACCGAUAUACCAAAUUAACAUUAAUUUUACUAAAAACAGAAAACUCAAAUAACUAUAUGUUGUUAUACUAAAUAUAUAUGCACUAGCUAGUCUACCAAUUAGUCAAAUUCGUUAACAAUAGAGAUUACAAUUGUAUUAAAAAAAAAAGGUGUUAAUUUGGGUAUACUAAUCCUACCAACACGCUCAAAACCAAUUAAUCUUUCUGUAGUACAUCAUCAACAAUAUAUAUCAAAAUUUUAAUCUAUCAAAUAUCAAUGAAUAAACAUUAGUACAAAAGUAUUAGUUAAUUUAAUACAGUUAUGAGAUAUAUCAAUUAAUAAACAUAUUAAAUAUCUAGUCCGUCAACAAACUAUCAUACUGUUAGAUAUCAGUGAAGAAUAAUUUUAAAUAGUCUACAGGUGUUUUCGAUAGUAUAUAUCAUAUAUAUAAGAUAUAAGAGUAUUGAUCACAAUCAACACAAAUAUACCUAAAGUACGUAAGACAUAACUGUAUCAAUAAUAUAUCUAACACCAAUUAAAAUUAAAGUAUUGUAUCAGUAUGUUAGAUAAACAACAUGUUUUUAUAUAUUGAUAAAUAUAAGUAAACACGUAUGACAACAUUAGUUUAAUUUCAUAAUAGCUUGCCAAAUUACAUGAAAAUAAAAGAUGAAGAAGAGUAUAGUGUAAUGGUUAAGAUAUAUGCAUAUCUAUGUACCUUCAACUCUAGGGUUGACGGUCUUUCAAUCCUAACCUCCAAACUUCGGCUUCAAACUUAUGGAACUUAAAAAACAUAGGUGCAGACAUAAAAUAAAGUAUUACAACUUCUUAUUUUAUUCUCUCAUUUUGAAGUUGUACAGACUGAAUUAGACGAUUAGAGUUCAAUUAUUGCAUGUGUUAACCAAUAUAUCGAGCAUGGCCUCAACGGAUGUGUUGACAGAGAUUGGAUUAAUAUCUACUGCAAGAUCUAGGGCCAAGUUUAAACAAAUCUUAGCAUUAGUAGCUACUAGCCCUUGAAUCAAAUCACAACAUGGACGUACGGGUUCCUGAGAGCCAGCGGAUACAGUAAUAAAACCAAUUACACUUGCACACGCACUUACAUUGCCGGAGCAAUUGGUGGUCGGGCUCGACUCUGGUACAAUUGGUUGAGCAAUGGCAAGAGAAGAGAAGAGAAUUAGGUUGAGACAGAAGAAGAGAGCAAGUGAAAAGGAUUUGUCGGAGGAAGACAUUUUUCUUUUCUUUUUUUUUUUUUUUUGAAGAGAAGAAGAAAAGUGAAACUGUUUGGAGUGAAAUGGUUUUUGUUUAUGAAGUAGGGAUGGAGAAUAAAGUGUUGUGAUGGAAGGGUUUUUAUAGGAAGAAAUGUGGAUGGUUAAAUUAUGGUAAUUAGGAUAUGAGUUUUAAUUAUAAACCCAACUUGGAUAUGCUUUCAAAAUUCAACUAUAUAUCAAAAUUAAAUAAUGUGUUAAUAUU